GAACGAACCAGUUGCUGCAAAAGUAUAAUAUUGAGGAAGAUCUGACAGAUCCGGCUCCUCCUCCGCUCUCCUCUUCUCUCUCCCUAUUUUCUAGAUUACAACUAGAACUAACUAGAACUAGAACUAGAGGAACUAGAACUAGAACUAGAUGAACUAGAACUAGAUCUAGAUGAACUAGAGGUAGAACUAGAAGAACUAGAGGGAUCCUCUCUACUUGGAUGAAGAAUUGAAACCCUAACUUUGAUUCUGUAGAAGAGGUAUGAUCUCCAGGGGCCAGGGAGCCUUGCUUAUAUAGUCUUUUCAGAUGAAUCUGGGCCGUCGGAUCAAACCGACAUUGAUCGUGUGGUUUUUCUUGAAGUAUUAGGUCGGUGGAGCAUGAUCCGCGAAACGUGUCCUGAUUGGGCACUGUAGCUGGGCGGGCGCCUAGGAGAGUUGGGCGGGCGCCCUGCCUCCGAGCCCGAUUUCCUUCCCGUUCGUUCCUGUGGCUUCUGGAGUCUUCUAGAUGAUAGAAAAUUGCGCGACACGUUAAUAUCUCUAUGUAAACCCGACGUGUGGGCCUUUCUUCCGUAUUUCCUGAUAACCCCCUGCAGAAAUAGACAAACACCAAAACUCGUGGAAUUCUGUCAGAUAAAACCCUAAGUAUAGGUGUUGGUUGCAUUUGGAUCCUUUUCCAUGAUUAGUUGAUGAUUAAAUAUGAGCAUUAAGGACUGUCAACAAGCUCCCCCAAGCUUAACCUUUGCUCGUCCCUGAGCAAAGAUGGACUCAAGAGUUUCUGCAUUGGUUUUAUACCUUAAAGAUACACAAGCGUUCAAACAAGAUCUCAUCUCUAGGUUAGGGUAAACUGUUAAGAUUUAAACUUACUCAUAUUACCUUCCACCAUGGGGCUUACAACCGUCACCUGUGUCUUGAGCAGUUAAAAGAUAGAACGGUCUUGUCAAACGUCAUGUCUCUUGUUCUUCGAUUAACUAUAGCUCUGGAGUUUUUGCAGAUUUUCAAAUAAAACUCAGAGAUUCCUUGUAUGACUCUCUCUAGUCUCUCUUUUGUGGUAUUUCUGGAUUCUUACCAAGGCAGUAAAGGUGUAUGCCUUCUCUCAAAGUAUGUGGUAUUUUUGGUAUAAGGCAUAGUGACAUUGCCUUCUCUCUCACCUACUCUAAUAAGGCUUUUGAUAUCUGGAGCUCAUAGGUGGGAGACAGCUAAUACAUACUUACAAGACAUUUAUUGCAUAGUCAAACCAUGGAUCCAGAAGAACAAGUCAAUAAGUCAGAUCAAGAUGUGCAUGUGUGGCGAAUGAAUGAUGCAUGGUAAUGAUGGUGAUAACAAUGGUGAAAGUCUAAUUCUACUUAUGCUCUUUUGAGGGGAUACAUACCUUUCUUGCUCUUUUGAAACUUUUUGAUGAGAAUGAGAUGCUCUAUAUUUUCUUUUUCUUUUCUCUCAGGUGGGUAUCUUGUACCCCUAAUUCUACUGUCGGACACUUGUCCAUUUUUACCUCUUGUCUCACUUUUUCUUUUCUUUCGAGGUUUCGGGCACUUGCCCCUUUUUAUUUCCUCGUAUCUUUUUUUUUCUUUUUUAGAGCAUUCAUCUCUUGAAAUAAUAUAGCAAGUGGUAGUAACCAAGAUAACUUGAGCAUUUAUUUCACGGGAAAUAACAGGGAUAGGAUAAUGUUUUUGGCUAUUCUCUCCUAGAUAGGAAUAGAAUAAUUUUGAAUGAAUCUGGAGAUGAACAUGAGUGGAUAUAUGUGGAUGCGUACUUCCGGAGUAGAAGCAACAUGUAUGAGUGAACGUGCAAGUGAAUCUUGAUUUAACCACAUGACAAGCUCCUAAGGGUAUACACAGCUUGACCACACGCAAUGCUCAUAAGCAGUAAAAAGUAAAUGUGUGGCUCAAAGUCUAGCAAGCAUGUAUAUAUGGCUGUGGUAGGAAUUUAAACUCUCAUCAUACAAGACCUCAUCAUGCAACAUUUUAAAGAUUUUCAAAGAUAAAAUUCUCCAGAAUUCUAGCAUCUCUAGGAACAGAUAAACAGCAGCUCAACCUUCCCAUAUCAUAUCCGUUAACUACUUAGACUUUAGAUCAAGUACUCUUCCUACAAGUUCAGGUUUAGAGCAAAGCUUAAUUAAUAACAGUCAUGCCUAAACUUGAGAGAGAUUUCAAUUUUGAGAUUUAGUCAUGGCAGAGCAACUAUUCAUCAUUUCCAUGUGAGAGCUUAUCAUGAGGGUUCAUAGCAAACUUUAUUUAUUUAUUUAUUUAGCAAACUAAGCAAAGAUAUAUAUAUAUGAGCACAAAAUCUUUAUUUGGGUUUUUUAUGAUUAUGCAUCUUUUUAUUAUUAGUGUAAAGUAUAAACGUGAGUAGAAUACUUAGCUGGAUAAAUGGGGGUGCUCUCCCCCAAGCUGGAUUUUGACAUAAUUUUUUCUGAUGUAGCUAGCAGGUGGCGGAGGUGUAUUGAAUGUCGGCAGCAUCCUGACAGCGGUUAGGAUGUCCUCCGUCUGCUAGUCUUCUUUGAUCCUUGAAUUCUAUGGAGCUCAAAUAGACAACAAAGCUUUGUGGAACUAGUUAAGUGUUGGCAUAAAAUCUCUUAGCCUUUAUCAUGUUGAGCCUCCUCAAUAAAUGUUACACUCUUUGGUAAAAUCAUAAAUUUAUUUUUAUAUUUUUAUUUUUAUUGGACAGGAAUAUAUUUAUUUUAUUUUUAUGCCACCACAGUGAAUGUACUUAUGGGUUUUAUGCCAUGAGCAUACUCACAUGGGGCUUACUAUUUUUAACAUUUUUAUUUUCUUUUCAAGAUGAUAUAAACCUGAUUAACUAAGCUAACUAUUUUAAAAUAAUUGAAAGGAAAAGGAUAACUACCAAGUUUACCUCUUGGCAAGGCAUUCGGUGUUUUUAAGUCCUCCAAACGGUACUCUCCGUUUUCUCAGUCGUCCUGGGAUUCGCUGGAUGGCAUAGUCGGUGGUUCCGGCAGAGCCUGCUCUUCGUGUAUAACUAUCUUCUCUCUCCACACCUGACUCGGUGCUACGGUCUCCUCAGGACAGUUCUGUUCAAGCUGUAUGUCUUCAGACCUCACUACUUCUCCUUCGUAGUCUAUCCAUCCGUCCUUGAUAAUUUGCCUCCUCUGGUUGCGGUUGCGUUGUCUUCUUCUUGUCCUGACCUGCUUAGAGUCUUCAACUAUAUAGUUAGGGUCAGUAAAAUAGAGGCGUACCUUCUCAGAGGGGAAGUUCAUGUGGACUUCUCCGGUUCCAAUGUAGAUGAUUGCUUUAACGGUUCCGAGGAACGGUCUUCCAAUUAUGACGGGUGGAUCGAAUUCGUCUUCUCCCAUGUCAAUAACCUUAAAAUCAUCUGGAGCUGAAUGUAUGUCGGUUUUAGGGGCAUGGUUCCAUGCAGGAUCUGAUAAGUGACUGAGGCCAUUAUGUUGACGUCAGAUCCGGUGUCGUAAAGUGUCUUCUGAAAAGAAUAUCCGUUGAUUGUGCACUCGAUGCCUGGAACACCAGGGUCAUCCUUCUUGAUCAAGAAAGGCGACUUGAGUUGACGAUCUUGACCUCCUUGAACUGCAGUGACCAUCUUAGCUGACUUGGUCCACAUUUGCUUGUUCCUGUCCCUCCUGUUGGUCCUCUUCCUUGGUUCAUGUCGGGAUUGCUCUGAGAUUUGUGUAGUCUUGUUCUUGAAGGAAAACGUCUCCUUCCUCCCCUUGAUGUAGAAACUGAUCUUGGCAGCACUAAUGUAGAUGAUAGCUCCCGAGGUGUUCAGGAAUGGCCUCCCUAAGAUGAUGAGUGCCCUCUCAUCAGUACCAAUCUCUAUCACCACGAAGUCUGCUGGAGCAUAUAAGGUACCAACUCGGACGUAGAGGAUCUUCAAUAUUCCCUUUGGGAAACUUAGUGUCCAAUCUGCAAGCUGCAAACACAUGGAUGUUUCUAAUAAAGGAUGUGUAAAGAAUUUUUCAUAGAGUACCCUGUGCAUAAUGUUGACGCUGGAGCCAAAGUCACAGAGUGCUUCUGGGAAGUCCACCAUGCCGAUGGAGAUCGGGAUGACGGGGCGUCCUGGAUUGCCUCUCUUGACCGGCACAAGGUCAGUAAUUACUUCCACAAUAGUGCUACUCUAGAAGUUACGUCCUUAAGCAUCUCAGGGCAGUGAUUGCCUGACUGUCUAGUAUCUCCAGUGUGUUUGUGCUCGUAGAUCUAGGUUCUUCACUUGGUGGAGUCUGGGAGUUGUAAAACUCCUUCAUAUUUUGCUCGAAGUGUACCUGCUUAUAGAGACAAGGCAGAGAUCAAGUGCAUGGGCCCUGUUGGUGAAAAACACCAACAGAACCAAAAGUGUAUUUGUUCUUCUCUAACCUUAAGCAUAGUGAGCAAGACAAAGUUGAUGGAUAAUAAAAUCAUGAGUGUAGCAUUUAAAACAUUUGUCAGAUCCGAUCGCUCAACCUAAUGGAAAGAUAAUCUAUCUAUAUUUAUGUUGUUUUUUUUAUAAAAUAUAUCUUCCAAAGAUUGAGUGUGCAACAUUUUAGGUCAUAUGAUUAGGAGUAUGGGAUCACAAAGGUGGAAGGACUAAACAUAUUGAAUCGAUUGGGUUGGUUAAUCUAGAGUUGUAAAUCAUACAUGUUUGUCUCUUUUAUUCAUGUGAACGCCAGAACCAAGGAGAAGCUUAUAGAAGUGAUAGUCAAGUACCUUAAGAUAUUACCUUACUUGAAGAGUGAUGGUACAAUAUCACCUUGUGGAAGCUUUCCUUUCUUAGCGGUUGUGCAUCGUGUUUGUAGCACCCUCCAUGGAUCAUCUCUUGUGAGCUAUGCCUUUCUUGUGUAAAUUGUUAACCUUCAUGCAUCUCUCUCUUUGUCUCCAAUGUGAGUUUAUCUCAGGACUUCCCAGGUUAAUAUUGAAAGUUUUCCUGCAGGGGUUAGUCUAACAAAAUAUCCAAUAUCUACUAUAGCAUACUAUCGGCUCAAAGAUCAACCUAGACACCAUGUCUAAUUUGAUUUAGGAGGGCAUUUUAACCUAAGCAUCAUGCUUAAUUUAAACUCCCUUGGAAGUAAGAUCAUCAGCCCUAAACUAAGCACCAUGCUUAAAUAAGAGAUAAAUGAAACUACUCCAAACCUAGACAUAUACUAAAGCAAAUAAAGGUAGCAUGAGAGCAUUUAUAGAGAUCUACUCAAGUGGAGAUGAAGUAGUGUGAUUAGUAUUUAACAAAUUGAGCAUGUCUCAAAGGUAGGGAAAACCAACAUAGCAACAUGGCAAAGGAUGUUUUUAUGUAAAGUACUCCCCCAAGCUUGAAUUUUGCAAAAUUCAAGUUUGGAUGAAUUUAAUUCAAUGUUGUAUGAUGAUUGGUUGGACAUACCUUGUGCUUGUCAUUCAUCUGAUCUUCUUGCUCCAAUCCUAGGAAGGUUAGUGACAAGAAUACCCGAAGGAAUAUUUUUACAAUUAUCCUGAUAUACUCAACACACAAGGUAAUGUUGCAAAUAAUUAAAAGUUUAUGUUAUGGUCUGAUCAGUGCUUAUUUUAGGACGCUAAGCUUGUCCUUGGGAAACCAUCAAUUUAUGUCAAUGAAGUGGUUUGCCCUCCAAAGCUGACCUAUAUCAAGAUCAACUCAACGAGAUCUGCAAAAUUUAUUAUAGACAUAUGCAUCGACAAUCGCCCUUUUAAAGUUUUUAUGAAUAGAAUGGAAGAGGGGGUUGGAGAUCUCGAAUGUGGUGAUGUUGGAGAGACCAAUGGAUUGUGAAGAUGUUGCAUAUGAGCAUGGAGUAAGUGAAGUGGCUAUGAAAUAAAUUCCAUGCUCAUUAAUGCUUAGAGUGAAAUCCAUGUGGUAUGGUGAAAAUGAUAAGGUGAGUGUGGUAAAAAAGGAAAAGAAAAAGGAUACACGGACGACUUGGUUCGAAACUAGCACAACUACCGUUCCCCGGCAACGGCGCCAGAAAGCUUGUUGGGUAUUUUAAACGCAAACAGAAAAAUCCGCAAGUGCACGGAUACCGAUGUAGCUUUCCCCCGGGAGUAUUCCAGAGUAUCGAUUUUCCACAGAGAACGUGAGUGUACUAAUUAAGAUCCAAGAUCGCCCAAGGAUAACUAUAUAAUUAUUUUUGGUGGGAAGAGAGGAAGUUUCCUGAGAGUUCUUUAGUUGAUCUAAGAAUUAAGAAUUACUUCCAAGAUUAUUUAUAUCGGGACAUCAGAGCACUAACCACAGAAAGAGAUGAGAAGGGGGCUAGGAAGGUCUGACUACGGUCCUACAAACACCGAUCCGAACGAGGUGGAAUACGUCGACCGUUAGGGCUGUCACUACCCUAAGGCUACCACAACAAUCCGCAGGAUUGGGUGCAAUUCCAGGUAAUCGCAAGACUAAACACCACGUCUAAUCUAUUAAUUACUACUCUAGCAUUAUAAAGACUAGAGCACUUGAUGCAAGCGAGAAUCCAAUAAAUAACUUGAAUGCAAAUAAAAGUAAUUAAAGAACUCAGGAAUUAUGAGUUGAAGAACCUGGAGAACGAUGAAGAAUGAACCAGUUGCUGCAAAAGUAAAAUGUUGAGGAAGAUCUGACAGAUCCGGCUCCUCCUCCGCUCUCCUCUUCUCUCUCCCUAUUUUCUAGAUUACAACUAGAACUAACUAGAACUAGAACUAGAGGAACUAGAACUAGAACUAGAUGAACUAGAACUAGAUCUAGAUGAACUAGAGGUAGAACUAGAAGAACUAGAGGGAUCCUCUCUACUUGGAUGAAGAAUUGAAACCCUAACUUUGAUUCUGUAGAAGAGGUAUGAUCUCCAGGGGCCAGGGGGCCUUGCUUAUAUAGUCUUUUCAGAUGAAUCUGGGCCGUCGAAUCAAACCGACAUUGAUCGUGUGGUUUUCCUUGAAGUAUUAGGUCGGUGGAGCAUGAUCCGCGAAACGUGUCCUGAUUGGGCACUGUAGCUGGGCGGGCGCCCAGGAGAGUUGGGCGGGCACCCUGCCUCCGAGCCCGAUUUCCUUCCCGUUCGUUCCUGUGGCUUCUGGAGUCUUCUAGAUGAUAGAAAAUUGCGCGACACGUUAAUAUCUCUAUGUAAACCCGACGUGUGGGCCUUUCUUCCGUAUUUCCUAAUAACCCCCUGCAGAAAUAGACAAACACCAAAACUCGUGGAAUUCUGUCAGAUAAAACCCUAAGUCUAGGUGUUGGUUGCAUUUGGAUCCUUUUCCAUGAUUAGUUGAUGAUUAAAUAUGAGCAUUAAGGACCGUCAAUAGUAAUGGACUUUAAUAAUUAAUUAGGUGUAUUAGUAAAGACAAAGGUUGCAAAUCAAUUAAUACCAUAUCGCUAGUUGAUGUGGAGGUGGGGAGUUUUUCUCCCUAUAUAUAUAUGUACCAACCCCUUAGGCAAAGCACAUCAAAGACUAUCAUAUGGGAAGCCUCUAAUUUGAGAAUUCCUAAGGUAGUAAAAUAAAAAUUAGAUUUUCUUCUCUACAACGUGAUCGCCAUCGUCUCGCCUAUACACGACAUCUACGAGCGGUCGGCUGCUCCGGCGUUGCUGUAGCUCCAAGAAAGCGUCGCUGCCAUUGAACCUGCUCCCUGUCCACUAACGUAAGCCCCAAUCACUUUGCCUUUCAGUUUGGAAAAUGCAAACAGCUCGGUUUUAGAUUUAAAAUACGUUUUCAUGAAUUAUAAGUUUGCCACUGAAACAGUUUUGCCCAUAAAAUAUUUAUUUUAAUUCUAUUUUGACCCAUUCAAAUUGCGUUAGGUUCAUAAUCAUGAUCUCUACAUGUUAGUAAAAUUAGUUACUCAGUUUAAAACUUUCUAGUUUCGUGAUCCUAUUUAAUUAAUUAUUUAUCUGUAGGAAAUCUUAGAAAAUUCAUAUCUUCUCCGUUUCAACUCUGAUUUUCGUGAUCUUUACGUCUAUGAAAUCGUAGCGAUGCGUAGAGUCAUUUUAUAAACUUUUCAUACUGUUUUUAUAUGAUUGAUGUAUUGUUCUAAUUAUAGCUUAGUUUGCUUCGUGUAUGUUUUUCUUCGAUUGUUUGUGUGAUUGAUGAUCGGAGUUUAGACGGUGAGCAAUUCGUGGUGAUCAAGAGUGCUUCAGUGAUCAAGAUCAGAGCUUGGACAAUAAGUAAAGACAAACAGAACCAAAAGGAUCAGCAAGAGCAAUUGGAUUAAGGCAAGUAUAGCAUUUGGAUUUUAUUUCCGUGACUAUGAUCUUGUGACUAGAUUAAUGUUAAGUAAUAAACAAUAAAAAUGACUUUUUAGCCACUUGAUGAUUUAUCUGUAAGUGAUAACCGGGACAACAGUGCAACCAUAAGGGCUAUAAUGGCUCUGGCUUUAGUUAAGUAUGAGAAACUUUUCUAGCUCGUUAGCGGUUACCCAUGUGGCGCAAUUGGGGAAUAGCAGACCGUGGAUUCCUGCGGGUGAAUCACAUGGACUGACUAAUGAAACCAAGCGGCCCUAACUUGUUAGACGAACCUUUGAAAGACUUCAUAGUGAUCCCUGCCGACCUCCCUUGGAAGGGGGUUAAGAGAUUAGCUACCUCGGGCGAAAGGGUAAAUCAUGACUCAUGGGUAAAGAUGUAUAACCUCUGCAGAGUGUUUAAAACUGGUAUACUAGCCAUGCUCACGGUCAAGAGCGGCCUUGGGGAUUCUUGCAUCGACGAUGAUGAUUCUUGUGUGUUAAAUAUGUUCAUUAUUUAUUAUUUAAUGCUUUACAUUAUUUAUGUCACAUUGAUCAUGAGAUUGUUGGAGCUAUACAAUCUAGUUGCUAUACUUGUGGAGUUCGACAUGGACUCACUCUUGCUAUUUCCCCCAAACCUCAGGAGAAGAUUAGGCUUGUGAUCAACCAGUCAGUUGGAUCCUGUAGAGAGAAGUUAAUACUCGAAGUUGGAGUUGUUUAUCCACUGUUUGUUAUCAAAGGUUAUCUCUUUUAUAUUAUGAACGAUAUAUAUUUAUGCAUUGUCUUUUGAUAUUACCCCUUAUUUGUAGCUAUAUGUGAGAUUUGACUUCUAAAACUCAUAUAUGGUGCAUAUCUAAUUUUGUCCAUAAAGUCGGGUAUUACAUAACUUGUCUUUCCAUGCCGUUCCCAUUUCAUUUACUGUCUUCUGAAGAAUAUUCUUGAUUUGCUUGUUGGAAGUCUCUGCUUGGCCACUUGUUUGAGGAUGGUAGGGGGUAGCGACAUUGUGACGAAAUCCAUAUUUUGAUAGAUAUUGCUUGAACCGUUUGUCGAUGAAGUGUGCUCCUCCAUCACUUAUCACUAUUCUGGGGACUCCAAAUCUUAGAAAUAUAAUUUCUUCAAACAUCCUCUUUGAGCUGAUGUUGUCGGCGUGCUUGCAAGGUAAUGCCUUUACCCACUUGGAGACGUAGUCAACUGCCACCAAGAUGUACUCACACUUCUUUGAUGGGGAAAAUGGACCCAUGUAGUCUAUUCCCCAGACAUCAAAGAGCUCAAUCCGAAGGUUGUUAGUGAGUGGCAUGGCAUCCCUUGUGUUUAUGUUUCCAUGCCUUUGACAUGGCCCACAUCUUCUGAUAUAUUGCUUCGUGUCUUCAUACAUUGUAGGCCAGUAGAAUGCACACUGCCAGAUAUUUGAAUGUGUAUGUCAUGCUCCAUAGUGACCUCCAUAUGGUGAUGAAUGACAUCUGUCAAUGAUCUUCCAUCCUUCCUCAGUGGUCACACAUCUCCUGAGUAAGCAAUCAGAGCAUACUCGGAAGAGGUAUGACUCAUCCCAUAUAUGUGAACGACUUUCUUGAAUAAGCUUCUUCUUGUUUGCUCCUGGUGGUACAUACCCUGAAACCAAAAAAUUAACAAUAUUUGCAUACUAGGGGUCAGACCUGUUAAUCCCCUAGAGCAUGUCGUCCCGGAGUGAAUCAUUGAUGGGGGUUUCCCGUGGACUCUUAAAAUACAUUCUAGACAAGUGAUCAGCAACAGAAUUUUCUACUCCCUUUUUAUCUUUUAUUUCCAAGUCAAAUUCUUGAAGUAAUAAGAUCCAUCUAAUCAGGCAAGGUUUAGCAUCUUUUUUAGUGCAGCAUGAUCAGUGUAAACAAUUAUUUUAGCUCCAACUAAAUAAGUUCUAAAUUUAUCAAUGGCAAAGACAACAGCCAGAAGCUCUUUUUCAGUGGUUGCAUAAUUUAGUUGAGCUCCUGUCAAAGUUUUACUCGCAUAAGCAAUUGCAUGACGCUUCUUAUUUUUAGUUUGUCCCAAAACUACCCCCACAGCAUAAUCACUAGCAUCGCACAUAAUUUCAAAAGGCAACGACCAAUCAGGGGGUUGAAUGAUUGGUGCAGAGAUGAGUGCAUUCUUUAAUCAAUUGAAAGAUGUUAGACAUGCAUCAUCAAAUUCGAAAAGAGCAUCCUUGGCUAGCAAAAGAGUAAGUGGUCUAGCAAUGAAUGAAAAAUCUUUUAUGAAUCUGCGAUAAAAACUAGCAUGGCCAAGAAAGCUUCGAAUUCCUUUUAUGUUGACAGGUGGAGGUAGUUGUUCAAUUACUUCAAUUUUAGCUUUGUCUACCUCAAUACCUCUCUCAGGAACUAGGUGUCCCAGCACUAUUCCUUCCCUAACCAUAAAAUGACAUUUUUCCCAAUUAAGGACUAAGUGCUUUUCUUCACAUCUUUGCAAAACCUUGUCUAAGUUUUCAAGACAACUAUCAAAAGUUUUUCCAUAAACAGAGAAAUCAUCCAUGACAACUUCCAUAAUCUCUUCAAUCAUAUUUGACAAUAUAGACAUCAUGCAUCUUUGAAAAGAAGCUGGCGCAUUACAUAACCCAAAAGACAUUCUACGGCAAGCAUAAGUUCCAUAUGGGCAUGUAAAAGUGGUUUUGAUUUGAUCAUCGAGAUGGAUCAGGAUCUGGUGAUACCCUGAAUAUCCAUCUAAGAAACAUAAGAACGAAUGGUUCGCUAAUCGCUCUAGCAUCUCAUCUAUGAAAGGUAAAGGAAAAUGAUCCUUUCUUGUGGCUUUAUUCAGUUUCCUAUAGUCUAUGCAAAUCCGCCACCCUCUGACGGUGCGUUGCGGAAUUAGCUCGUUCUUUUCAUUCAUAAUAACAGUCAUGCCUCCCUUUUUAGGCACAACUUGAACUGGGCUCACCCACUCACUGUGCGGCACAAGAUAUAUAAUCCCUGCAUGCAGAAAUUUUAUAACUUCCUUUUUAACUACCUCUCUCAUCGUGUUGUUAAGUCUACGUUGAGGUUCUCAAGAAGGUGAAACAGAAGGAUCUGUUGGAAUACGAUGCGUACAAAUCAUAGGAUUGAUUCCUGUAAGAUCUUGGAGUGAGUAGCCGAAAACUGAGUGAUGUUUCUCAAGAAUGGUCAUUAAUCGCAGAGUUUGCUCCUGAGUGAGUUUAUCACUAAUGAUCACAGGAAACUGUGGAUUAUUGUUUAGGAAAGCAUAGAUAAGACCGGGUGGUAAAGUUUUAAGCUCUAUUGGAGGUCUAGGCGUUUCUGCAAACUCAUCUAAGGGUUCAGGUUCAGAAGGUUCGGCCUCUUCUUCUGUGAAGAAAGGAGCUUCGUCUUCUAAGUCUGGUUCAUCUAAAAGCUCUAGAGAUACAGCCUUUACCUCCUCCAUAGGAUCAGGCAAAAGAUAUGACUCGGCCUUAUUAUUUAAGGAGUGUGAAUUGUUAUUGGGAAUUUAAAGGUUUUUCCAAAAGAAAUGUGUAGCUUUCCAGUAUGACCUUCAUAAAGGAGUCUUCUAAAAGGUUGUCCUAUCAAUAGGUCGAAGUCCCAUGUAUCAAAGAUAUAGAAGUUCAAAUGAACCAUGGAGCCUUCUACCAUAAGGGGUAGGACAUUAAUAAUUCCAAGACUGGGGACUAAUCGUCCCGAAGAUUCCUUUAUGACCUUCAUUGUGGGGGUUAAGACAAGAUUUUUAAAUAAUUUAAGUGCAAAAGAUUCAGACAAGAUGUUGAUCCCCACAAUAGGAUUAUAGAGAGCAUCAAAUUGAUCAUAAUCAUAAGCACAACGUAUAGUUAUAGAGGGUGUGUCCAAACGGAUCACAUCAGAGGAAAGCUCUGACUCCUCCAACCAUUCGCUACUCAUGACUGUGAUAAGCUCUCUUAAUUGAUGUUCACUUGGUAAACAAAUGCUAAAAUGGCCGUUUUGGGGUCUGUUAAUAGAAUGGUAGUUUGAAAUGUUUCCAAAAUCGGCAAAAAGAUCAGAUUCUAUAUCCAGCAUGAGAUCAGGUGGUGGAAUUUCUUCCUUUUGUGGCUCAGAACUUGGGAUAGCUAAAGUAGAUGGAGAAUUUGGCAGAGUGUCUACUUCGGCUUCGUGGGUUUCAUCAUGAAGGGUAUUAUCCAUCUCAGCUUCUAGGAUUCUAUCUAUGAUCACUCUAGCAUCAUCAGUAGGGAUGCGAAAGAAAGAACCUCUAGACAUUGUAUGUAGCAUUUGUUUAUGACCUUUCUGAAGACCUCAAAAAAGUGGAAUAAAAGAACAGGGUCUUGAAGAUUAAGGUUUGGACCAGAUUCUAAAUGAUCAAAAAAACGUUUCUAGGAUUUUCCCAAAGUUUCAUUAUCUUUUUGUUUAAAAUAUAGGACUUCGAGUCUAAGGUCGCUGAUACGGUCGAGGGAAUAAAAAUCUAGACAAAAGUUGGCUCGUAAAACUCCCCAUUCACCUUGUUGUUGACUUACUUUCUGACUGUACCAUUGUCUAGCUUCUCCCCUUAAAGAAAAAGGAAAAAGCUUCCAACGUAAAGUCUUAUCAGAAAUGCCCUCAAUGCGAAGACAAUCACAUGUUUGCUCAAAAUCUCUAAUAUGAAGGUAAGGGUUUUCGUCUUCCUUUCCUGAAAAAGAUAGGUUUUGAAUCAUGACAAUCAACCUAGAACUUAACCUAUACUGGGAUGUUUGGAUAGGCUAUGACGACUCCCAUGGUAAAAGGUCAGUUACUAAAGGGAUUGCAGAUUCAUGGAUCGAUUUGGAAUUUUGGUUUUCCAUAAGGUAAGAGUAAAGAAAAUAAAUAAAGAAUAUAAAAGAUAAGAAAAGAUAAAAGUAUAGAUACAAGCUAGUAGUAAGACUCAAGGUUAUCUCAGCAAACCGUCUUUCUCCCCGGCAACGGCGCCAGAAAUGCUUGUUGAUAUUUGGGAACGCAAUAAGGAAUGGAUCCGCAAGCGCACGGAUAUCGGUGGGCACUUCUCCCGGGAGGUUAACCAGAGUAUCGUAUUUAUUUUUUUACUACUAGGAGAAAGAUUGCAUCUGACUAACCUAGUCUAUUACUACUAACAUUUAGGCUAAAAAGAAUGUUUCUCGAUGUGAGUGAUAUAUAGAGAAGACUACAACCGUAAUCUCUUUCUAACCUUGGUAAGUAUGAUCUACUAUUCUAUUGGGGAGGCUUACGGAAUCUAGACACCACAGAGGAUGUUCAACCUGCACCUAUAAACCCUAUCCUUCCUGCUAACGAGAUAUGGCUUGCAAAGGUAACUCGGAAAUGUCACGUUCCUCUCUACUACCACGGUCCAGCUAGACAGGGAAUAUCUAUGAGUAUCCUAACCCAAACACCACGUCUACGCUAGAGAUGAUUACUCUAAACUCUACGCGAAGAGAUUAAAGUAAACUCAUAAACCAAAGAAGAAUAAAACAAAGAUUACCGAUAUGGAAUCAGUAAAAGGGUGGCCCGAUCUUCACGACAGUAGAUCAAAAGAACAAGGAUAACUUGCUACCAACAGCUGGUAACUAGCUUUAUAUCUGACAAAGGUUGGAUGCGACCAAGCGACGGGGAGAGAGGCACCGAAACCACGAAAACUUUGACUCGAUCUCCGAACGACUGCAUAACCACAAUCCGAAACUAAUCCACACAAUACGGCGCAGCCGAACGGAAGCCGUAGAGCACGAAGUAGGAGAACCCAGAGGAUUGACUUCACAAGCCCAUGAAGAACAAGGAAGAACAAAGGUUGAGUAAGGCACUCAGCAGCGCGGCUGCAAUAUCAUGUAGUUUAUCAAAAUGAUCAAAGGUUGCUGAUAGCUUAGAGGUAGGGGAUAUUUAUACUAGGAACAACCCUCCUAGAUAGGUAUGAAAACGAAAUAGAGUUUCUGAGGGAAGGCAAUGUGAAAGGUCCCCUCGGACUGGAUUCCCAGACUGGCUUCGCGUGACUGUUGGCCUCCAGAGCAGUUUCCAAUAAACUGACCAUAACUUUUUAUAGGGAAGUCCAAAUGACAAACUGUUUCUUAGAUGUGAAAUUAGACUCCAAGAGCUUUCCAGCAAUGUAUGCCAUGCACCACGAACGUUGUAGAUUGCUACAGUUUUGCACGGCAAGUUUUACCAACAUUCUAUCACGACACACUAUUGACCUUCUGAGCAGUCUGUACUAAUUCUGGUCUGCAGGCAAUAUAGAGUAUCCAAACUAGUCACCACUAGAUGCAUUGGAAAGUAGACUCGUCACGCUUUCCAACAAGUGCUCAUGGACCUUCAUAGCUUUUGUGAGUAAAAAGUUAUGAAGAUUUCUUUGCAUUGGACCGUUUUUGACUUCCACUGGUCCGUUUUUGACUUCUUCUAGAACUUGCACUGGUCCGUUCUUCAGGGUCUGAUUUAUCCUUCUCUUCUUCAAUAUACCUUAGUACAAUCAAGGUAGAACACUUAGGUAGUAUAUAAUUCUCAUUAGUGUUAAAAUCAAUCUCACAAAGUAGCGCGUGGACCUCUUGUUGUAGCUUCUUUGCACGACUACGUGUAACCGGUCCAUCGAUGACUUGGGCUGGUGUCGGUGUAGGUAAAACUUGAGUGGUUGUAGCUUGACUUGGAGCUUGUGACAUCUUGCUUACUGGCGUGGUCAUAUCACUUACGGAAUCUAGACACCACAGAGGAUGUUCAACCCGCACCUAUAAACCCUAUCCUUCCUGCUAACGAGAUAUGGUUUGCAAAGGUAACUCGGAAAUGUCACGUUCCUUGCUACUACCACGGUCCAGCUAGUCAGGGAAUAUCUAUGAGUAUCCUAGCCCAAACACCACGUCUACGCUAGAGAUGAUUACUCUUAACUCUACGCGAAGAGAUUAAAGUAAACUCAUAAACCAAAGAACAAUAAAACAAGAACUUACUAGAAUUUAGAAGUCAAAAUACUGAAGAAUCCUAGGAGCAAGCUUCGGGUUAGGAGAACUUGAUCCCACAGGUACAACCUCGGAGUAGACACCGACAGGCCGGGCUUCCUCCGAUCUACACCACCACUCUAUCUCUCUCAAUCUAGUAGAAACUAGAAGAUCUAAUUCCACUCACAUUGGAUGCUAAGCCCUAAGUCUAUUUAGAGGAGAGGUAUUCCUUCGAGGGCUCCUCUCAACUCUAUGAUGAACUUGUUCUCCUCCAGGGGCCAGGGGGUCUGGUUUUAUAGACCCCUCAGGUAAACGUGGGCCGUUGGAUCAACCGACAUUGAUUGAACGGUUAUCCUUGAUCCUUUAGGUCGGUGGAGCGUGAUCCGCGAAAAGAGUUCUGAUUGGAAUCCAGAGGGGGGCGGGCGCCCUGGUCCCUAGGGCGGGCGCCCUGGGCUAGGCCCCUUUCGGUAUCCGCUUUGUUCCCGUGGCUUCUGGAGUCUUUUAGAUGGUGGAAAAUUGUGCGGUGCGUUGAUAUCUCUAUGUAAUCCCGACAUGUGGGCCUCACUUCCUUAUUUCCUGAUAACCCCCUGGAGAAACAGAUAAACAACAAAACUCAUGGAAUUCUGUCAGAUCAAACCCUAAUUCUAGGUGUUGUUUGCAUAUUGGUCCUUUCUCUUGUUUAUUUGAUAAUUAAAAUUGAUACUUAAGAACCGGCAACAGAUGCGUACUCCCGGAGUAGAAGCAGCAUGUUUGAGUAAACGUGCAAAUGAAUCUUGAUUUAUCCACAUGACAAGCUCCUAAGAGUCUACACAGCUUGACCACACUCAAUGCCCAUAAGCAGUAAAAAGUAAAUGUGUGGCUUAAAAUCUAGCAAGCAUGUAUAUAUGGCUUUGGUAGGAAUUUAAACUCUCAUCAUACAGGAACUCAUAAUGCAAUAUUUUAAAGAUUUUAAAAGAUAAAAUUCUCCAGAAUUCUAGCAUCUCUAGGAAUAGAUAAACAGCAGCUCAACCUUCCCAUAUCAUACCCGUUAACAACUUAGACUUCAGAUCAAGUUCUCUUCCCACAAGUUUAGAUUUAGAGCAAGCUUUAAAUUAUAACAGUUAUGUCUAAACUUGAGAGAGAACUUCAAAUUUUUAAAAAUUAGGCAGAGCAACUAUUCAUCAUAUCCAUGCUAGAGCUUUAUUAUUAAGAUUCAGUUUAGCAUAGCCACUUUAUUUAUUUAUUAAACAAACUAAGCAAAAGAUAUAUAUAUAUAUAUAAGCAUAAAAUCUUUAUUUGGUUUUCCGUAGUUAUGUAUAUUUAUAUUUUAAUAUAGUAUAACUAUAAAGAUAGAUAGAAAUACUUAGCGGGAUAAUUGGGGGUGCUCUCCCCCAAGCUGAAUUUUGACGUAAUUUCUUUUGAUGUAGCAAGCAGGUGGCAGAGGUGUAUUUGAAAGUUGGCAGUAUCCUGACAGCGAUUAGAAUGUCCUCUGUCUGCUAGUCUUCUUGAUUCUUAAAUUCUGUGGAGCUCAAAUAGACAACAAAGCUUUGUGGAGCUGAUUAGGUGUUAGCAUAAAUAUCUAGCGUUUAUCAUGUUGAGCCUCCUCAAUAAAUGUUACUCUUCUAUUUUUAUAUUUUCGUUUUAUAAAGCAGAAAAGAAAUAUUUAUUUUAUUUUUAUGCCACCACAGUGAAUGUACUUAUGGGUUUUAUGCCACUCGUAUACUCACAUGGGGCUUAUUAUUUUUUUUUCAUUUUUAUUUUCUUUUUAGGAUAGUAUGAACAUGAUUAACUAGGCAAAUUGUUUUAAAUAAUUUGAAAGGAAAAGGAUAACUACCAAGUUUACCUCUUGGCAAGGUGUUCGGUGUUUUUAAGUCCUCCGAACGGGACUCUCCAUUUUCUAGUUGUCCUGGGAUUCACUGGGUGGCGCAGUCGGUACUUCCAGUGGCGCCUCUUCUUUGUGUAUAAUUAUCUUUUCUCUCCACACCUGAGUGCUACGGUCUCCUCAGGAUAGUUCUAUUCAAGCUGUAUGUCUUCAGACCUUACAACUUCUUCUUCAUAGUCUGCCCAUCCGUCCUUGAUGAUUUGCCUCUUCUAGUUGCGGUUGCGUAGUCUUCUUCUUGUCCUGACCUGCUUAGAGUCUUCAACGAUAUAGUUAGGGUCAGUAAAAUAGCGGCGUACCUUCUCUGAGGGGAAGUGCAUAUGGACUUCUCUAGUUCCAAUGUAGAUGAUUGCUUUAACGGUGCUGAGGAACGGUCUUCCAAGGAUGACGGGUGGAUCGUAUUCGUCUUCUCCCAUGUCAAUAACCUGAAAGUCUAUGUAGACAAAAUGAUCGUUUAUUUUGAUAGGGACAUCAGUUACAAUACCUUUAACCUCUCGAAAUGUUUGAUCUGCCAUCUAGAGCUGAAUGUAUGUUGGUUUCAGGGGCAUGCUUCCGAACAAGAGCCGAUAGGUGACUGCGGCCAUUAUGUUGACGCCCGAUCCGGUGUCGCAAGUCGUCUUUUAGAAGUUGUAUCCAUUUAUGGAGCAAUAGAUGCUUAGCAUUCCUAGGUCGUCCUUCUUGGUCAGAAACGGUGACUUAAGUCGAUGAUCUUGUCCUUCAUGAACUGCAGUGACCAUCUUAGCUGACUCGGUCCACACUUGCUUGUUCCUAUUCCUCCUGUUGGUCCUCUUCCUUGAUUCAUGUCGAGAUUGCUCUAGGAUUUGUUUAGUCUUGUUCUUGAAGGAAAACGUCUCCUUCCUCCCUUUGAUGUAGAAACUGAUCUUGACAGCACUAGCGUAGAUGACAGCUCCCGAGGUGUUUAAGAAUGGCCUCUCUAAGAUGAUGGGUGUCCUCUCAUCAUUACCGGUCUCUAUCACCACGAAGUCUGCUGGGGCGUACAAGGUACCAACUCGGACACAGAGGUUCUUCAAUAUUCCCUUUGGGAAACUUAACGCCUGAUCUGCAAACUGCAAACACAUGGUUGUUUCUAAUAAAGGAUAUAUAAAGAAUUUUUCAUAGAGUACCCUGAGCAUAAUGUUGAUGCUAGAGCCAAAGUCGCAGAGUGCUUCUGGGAAGUACACCAUGCCGAUGGAGAUCGGGAUGACGGGGCGUCCUGGAUCGCCUCUCUUGACCGGCGUGGUUACUCCAGUAGUUACCUGCAUCAAACAUGUCUACAAGAUUUGCAGAUUCUAAUCCGUUCGGUUGUGAUGGUAUACCGGUGUUAGUAGCAGGAACAACAACAGCUAUUUGAUUUAACUGAGAUUCAAUCAUUUUAUUAAACAUAAUUUGAUUCUUGAUGGCAGUAGAGAAAUUAUCCAUUCUGUUAUUUAUAUUUUCUAGCAUUUUAUCAUUAGAUGCCAAUUUCUUAGAUGGGUUAUCCAUUAGCUUUCCUUGAUUAGACACUAACUCUCUCAAAGGUGGAAAAUUAUUAGUAUUAUUGUAAAAAUUGUUACCUUGAUAAUUACCUGAGUUGUUAGGUCUUUGUUGAUUCCAACCUUGAUUUUGUUGAGGACGGUUGUAGUAGUAGUAGUAGUUGUUGUUGAUGUAGUUCAUAUCGUCAAGCACCUCAGGGCAGUGAUUGCCUGACUGUCCAGUAUCUCCACACUCCUCACAAAUCAUGUGAGAGUCGUAGAUAUGCAUAACUUCUUUUUUAUCUCUAGCUCUGUCAUCGAGCUUCUUCAUGAGCAGGUCUAGCUUUGCAGAUAGCAUGUCUACCUCCUUGAGCUGAUGCAUACCUCCAUCUUUCUUACGUGUCUGGGUCCUCUCUUCAUUCCAGCUUUGGUUGGACGCCAUGUUCUCCACAAGAGCUAUGGCUUGUGAUAUAGUAAGCGAUAGGAAUGCUCCUCCAGCUGCAGCAUCCAUGGUCUCUCGAGCACUAUUGCCGAGCCCAUGAUAAAACGUCUGCAUCAGUAGCCAACUCUCCAUUCCAUGAUGGGACAUUCUAGGAUGUAGUCUUGGAAGCGCUCCCAUGCUUCUGGAAUAGAUUCAUCAUGUUGUUGCUGAAAACAUGUAAUUUUCCCACGGAGAGCAUUGGUCUUGCCCAUGGGAAAGAACUUAGCCAGAAAGUUCGUGGAGCAGAGUGCCCAUGUAGUAUUCUUCUCCUUUGUAGCGUAGAACCACUGCUUCGCUCUCCCUAACAGUGGGAAUGAGAAGAAGCGAAGUAUUAUAGCAUCUCUGGGGACUCCUGAUAUAGUGAAUGUGUUGCAAAUCUCCAGGAAGUGUUGGAGAUGAGCACUAGCAUCUUCAUGUGCCUUCCCACAGUACUGGUUGGAUUGCACCAUGUUGAUAAGUCCAGGUUUGAGCUCAAAGUUGCCAUCGAUCUCUGCAGCAGGUCCAGUGCGCAUGUUGUCCAUAGUGGGAGCUGAGAACUCACGGAUCGAUUUGUUCGCCAUGGCUUCGAAUUCUGAAGACAAGUUCCAGUGAUCUUCUUGAUUGGAUGAAGCUUCGUGCUGAAGUGUUGAUGAUCUCUUCAUGAGCUUGGCUCUUGUUUUUCUGAAUAAUGCUUUGGGAUUGUCAACAAAAUUUCCUAGAAGAUGUCUUCUAUUCAUACAUUACCCUGCAUAAGAUAAAAUAGAAAAAUAUCAGGGUAAAAUUGUAUGAGAGAAUUGAUAAGCUCAAUCAUAUAAGUGAUGCGAAUGAUGACUCAAAAUUCUAUAUUCAUUCUUGAUUAGUAAUCAACCUUCCCUGGCAACGGUGCCAAAAAUGCUUGUCGGGCAUUCUUAAUGUCACUACCAAAAGUAGACAUAGUUUUCUAAUUCUGAUAACGGCGCCAAAAAAGCCACACCUAUCUCCCAUGCCACUUAAGCGAAGUUGUCAUCCCCAGCAUGACAUGAAAGACGCGGUAUUGAAAUAUGCAAUUGCUCUUCUAAAUAAAUAAUAAAUGGGAUCUGCAAGCGCACAGAUUAAUACCGAUGUAGCAUUUUAACCGAGAAGUAUUCCAGAUAUCGUUAUUUAUAUUUUUACCACUAGGAAGGGAUUGCUAAACAUCAAUGUUGAUUAUAGAAUGGAAUAUAAGAUUGAGUAUAUAUCAUUGCAUGUAUAAUUGAGAACAUUUAUCUAUCUCUUUCAUACAGGGAUAAGUGUCACAUAAAGGAUAUCUAAAGUAAUGAAUGGUGACAAAGGUAAUUAAUCUGAUCAGCAUAACUUAGCCACAUAUAAAUAUGAUAAGCACCUCAAUUAGAUACUCUAGCAAGUCAUUAGCAUGGUAUUAGGACGAACUACAAGAAUAUUUCCUAAAUUAAUCUUAACUAUACAACCUAGCAUAUCAUAGUUAGUGCAGUUAUACUUAGCAAUCAUUGUGAGACAGGACUACGCCCAUUCAUAGUGAUAUUAUCAAGGAAUAUGAGAAACAUCGCAAUCACUCCCCUGUAAUAAUGUUGCUCUGCCAGCCCAAUACAUGAGAGGGGGACUAUAUAAGAAUCAAUGGAGCUGUCACUACCACGAACUACCCCGCGAUCUGGCAUAUAGGGUACAAUCGCAGAUAAAUACGGUAUAGGCAUCACGCCUACACAAUAUCUAUCAUUUACCCAUGGGUCCGAUGGAUAAACGCCAUACGAUCCUAAACAUGUAUAUAAUUCCAAUCUAACUAAGCCAAGUAUAUAACUAUGAUAAACUAAGAACAAUAUAAUUGCGAAUAUAAACAAGUAGAGCAAAGUCAUAACCAAUAUAUUGAAGUAGAACAAAGUCAUAUUCAUAAUAUCAAGUUACAAAGAUGAACAAUUGAAGAACAAUAGAGGAUUACCAAGAAUCCUCUUGACAGAUCCGGAAACCAAUCAAAGAUUGACUCCUUCUAGUUCUAAUCCUAUGUAGCUAUGCUAAUCUAGAGAUCUAAUUGAUGUGGUCGCUCUAGGGCUUGAUCAGAGGCUUCUUCUCCCUGAUGAAUAAUGAAUUAGGUUUGAGAGGUGCUCUCUUCCAGGGGCCAGGCGGUCUGGUUAUAUAGUCCUUCCAAGUGAAUGUGGGCCGUCAGAUCAAACUGACAUUGAUUGAACGGUUAUCCUUGAUCCUUUAGGUCGGUGGAGUAUGAUCUCUGAAGAGGACUUUGAUUGGGCACCAAAGGGGGGUGGGCGCCCUGGUCUCUAGGGUGGGCGCCCUGGGCCAGGCCCCGUUCUGCCUCCGCUUCAUUCCCGUGGCUUCUGGAGUCUUCUAGACGAUAAAAAAUUGCGCGGCACAUUAAUAUCACUAUGUAAUCCCAACGUGUGGGCCUUUGUUUCGUAUUUCCUGAUAACCCUCCUGCAGAAAUAGACAAACACCAAAACUCGUGGAAUUCUGUCAGAUAAAACCCUAAGUCUGGAUGUCGGUUGCAUUUGGAUCCUUUUCUUUGUUUAUUUGUUAAUUAAAUUUGAUACUUAAGGACCGUCAACAUGGACCGCAACCAACAAUCUCAGCGUAAUCCUAAUCAACAAUAGAGUGGACAGCAGACUCCAUGCUCGGGAAAUUCAAAUGCCACCUAUAUGAAGAGAAGUGCUCCCAAUACCCCUACUAGGCGUUUCCGCUAUAUAAUAAACACUGCAAUGGUACAUUUGAGAUUUGUCUACUUAUAUGUGCGACUGUUUCUGGGGCACAUAUGAGUCUUUUAUGCAUCCUAUUUUGUUCUUGAAAUAUGGGUGUGAUAUAGAAGUAGCUAAGAUCAAUGGACGAAGAGCACAUAAUGUUGACUUUAACUGCAUGACAAGUUCCUUAGCGUCUACAAAGCUUAACUACCCUCAAUGCUUAUAGGUUAAUAUAUAAGUCGAGAAUUUCCUAAUCUAGUAAACAUGAGUAUUUGGUUGUGGUAGGCAUUUUUAAACUCUCGUCAUAAAGGAACUCAUCAUAUAGACAUUUAAUAUUUCCAAAAUAUAAUUCUCCAAAACUCUAGUAUCUUUAGGAGAAAUAUGAUUGCAGCUCAAAACCUUCUUAAAUAAAUCAUUUGCUACAUAAAUGUUUAAGGCUCUGAGCAAAAUCUUAUAUCUAAAUAGUUGUGUCUAAACCUCGUGGAACUUGUUAGUUUCAAUCCCUACAACUGUGCUUUGUGGUUCAUAUCCCGUCAUAUCAAGCAAUAGUUGAUGGAUGGAAAUGAGCAUUAGUGACCAUCGACACAUAUAUGAAAAUAUAGUGUGCAGGAUAAUUUUAUAUAUAUGUAUAUAUGCACACACUUUAAUAUAAUAGAAAAUAAUGACACACUUACAGGAAAUAGCAGCUAAUGUGACUUUUGUCGAGAGAGUCCAGGUGGCAUUGUUGGUGUAAUUCUAGAAACUCGACAUAGAUAAUGUCAUUGCCAUGGAAGUAAUAGUGGUUUCUAAUUCUAACACAAAGAAAGAUCUGUUCCCCAUUAGAUUCCUCAUUGUACCACUAGUUUAGUAGGUACAUUUGCUUUACUAGUUCACAUAAAUUCUCAGGGUUAUAUAAGUUCAUAUUUCCUAUAAGGAUCCACUUCCGGAGCAGAUGGUCCUUGAGCAAGCACUGUGGCAAGGUCCAGACUAGUGUCCUUGUAAAACUGAUGAAAUCAUUCUGAGCCGACCUCUAGUAUGUCUAAGUUUGAACCAUAUCAUUAGAAAUGACAAGGGGGGAUUGAUUGUUGCGAUUGUUGUCUGAGUUGUGAAACACCUUUCCAUGCUCUCUUUUCUGUGCUACCUCAAAUGACUUGAUGAUGGAGUGGUCGUAGUCUAUUUGUUUCACGAGAGACUUAAGAGAGUCUAGUUUUAUCUGGCCCUCCUUCUUUCUUAGCUCAUUUGAACGUAGAUAGAAGUGUAUUGGCUCUGGCUUAUCUCUUGCUAGUUCAUACUUCUUUUUGUACUACAUUUUUUAAUUCGACAUCUUUAUUCUUCUAAGAUAGUUUCUAGGGAAUAACUAGAUGAGUUUUGGUGCCUUUGAACUUCAUUGCCAGUGCAUAGUACAAUGGCUUCAUUUGCAGAUGGACCUCUUAGGAGUUAGCCUCCUUGGAGACGGGAAAGUCAAUCUACACUUCCUUAGAGGCAACGACGGAGUUGGAGACUUCCUUGGAGGUGGUGGAGGAGUUAGAGCUGGUGGAGAUGUAGCAAUGCCUUCGAAGGUAUCAUCAUUGCCCUGAAGCACUAUGAUGAUCCAAAAAAGCAAUAAUUGGACUUAGGCUUGUAGAGGCCCUACUAUUUUGAGUACGAAAUAUAAUGAGAUAUAAUUGAAGUGAUAAUAUUAAUCAUGUCCAUAGGUAAUUAGUAAAAAAAUGUUUCAUUAACUUUUGUGCAUACCUAAUGUAUGCUCGUGUUGGUAUAAAUUAACUGCACCUUAAUAAUUAUUAUAAUCAGAUUAUCCGCAAGCGCAUAGAUAUAUACUAAUUAGCAUUGCACCAAGAUCAACCCAGUUUUAAUAUCAAACCCAAAGGAACAGUAGGUGAUUUAUGACUUAGCCUAUAAUUUCUUAAUCUAAGGGGGCACAAACAAUCUAAAAACUAUUGAUGAUGAGGAAAUACUAAUGUACUCUGGUUCCAAUAACCGGUAAAGUUCGUAUAACAUCGUCUUCUCGGGCAAGUUACCCAAAUAGGGGAAGAAUCAGAGUAAUCCCAUAUAAAGCACCUAUAAGCCUAUGAAUCCUAUCAACAGGAAGUGGACUACAGAGGAAUCAAUUCAGCUAUAAAGUCACCUACGCGAACUACCACUAUCCAGCUGAUCAGGGGACAUUCACAAGCAAAGCCCAGACACCACAUCUACGCUACGAAUCACUACUCCAACGUAGGAGCUACCCAAAUCAAAGUACUCAAUGUAAUAUAAGUUGCAAACCAAAGAACGAAUACAAACAAGUUGCUUACUUGAAUCAGAAGGGUAAAUACAAAAGUACCUCAAAACGCGGUUCCAGGCGAGGGAGCCGAAUCCAGACGAAUACAGCUCGUGAGGAAGCUCUGCCAAGCCGGGGCUCCUCCGAAUCUCUACUCCGCUACUCUAUCUCUCUAAUCUCUUUCUUGAUUGCUAGCCUAGAGCUAGUGGAUCUCUAUCUAAUGCUCUGGCUCUUCAUCUCUUGAUCUGGCAUCAUCCAGGGGGGUCUUGCCUUCUAUUUAUAGCCUGGUGGGGUGAACGCGCGCCAUUUGAUCAAACCGACUUAACAAGUGGUCGAGAUGGCUCCCCAGAGGCGACGGAGGAAGCUUCCAGAAGGGGAGAGCAAACUCUAGUAGCAGGGGGCUGGCCGGCGCUAGGGUGGGGCCGACCAGCCCACCUGGCGACUGCUGGCUCCCCCCUCGUGUCGGGUGUCUUCUAGAGUGUUCGUGAAUCCUCCAGUGUCAUCCUUUCGUCGCGGCUAAGUUUCGUGGCCGGUUAGCACUUAAAUCCCUCUUUUCAACACUUUCUGAAAUAAUCUCUAGAAAACAUAGAUUAUACAAAACUCGUGCAAAUUGUUAGUGAUAACCCUAUUCUACUAGAUAUUCAUUUCUGGUGGAGAAAUAAAUGCUAACACAUUUUGUAAAUUAAUUAGUGUCAACAAUUACCUCCACACUUGGGCUUUUACUCGUCCCGAGAAAAAGUUGAUUUUAUCAUACUUCAUAACUUGGAAAUUAAAUUAUAUAAAAACUGAUCUAGUCAUCAUGUACUAUGGAAAUUUAAAGUGCUUAUCAUGAAUUUUAUAGUUAUUGAAGAGUGGGAUAGCUUAAAAUAGAUUACUCUCUUCCUUAAAUUUUGUCUACUAUAGAGUGAAGUUCGUAGAUAAAACAUAGCUUCAACCUUCUAUUAAUUGUAGUGGCAUCAAUGAUUGUGAUAUUAAUUUGAUGUUAUAACCAGGGAGGAAAAUAUCAUAUUCCUGUAUCAGACAAAUUAUCCACUUCCUUAGCAUAUUAUGUAUGAGGGACCAUAAGCUCUCUCUCUUUCUCUCUCUUUUUUUCAGAUCGAGGUUCUGGACACUUGUCCCUUUUUAUUUCCUCGUGAUCUAUCAUUUUUUGAGGUUUUGGACACUUGUCCCUUUUUAUUUCCUCGGAUUUCUUUAUGAAGAGCUCAUGCCUCCUUCAUGAUAGCGUUUAAGAGAGUGUAUUAUGAAUAUUUCAUUUUUAUGAAACUAAGAAUAUGAUAAAUCUCUCUACCAAAGUCAUAAUAAUUGAGUGAUAUUAUUAUUAUUUGAUUCCAAUACAAAGAGAGGUGAAGCUAAUUGUUUUUACCUUUUUUAAAAGAAAAUCUCCCAAGUCAAAUUUUUAGGAAUUGAAUACUAAUGAUUUUGCUAUCUCUUUUUCCACAAUAACUUAAGUACUAUAAAUUUCACAGCCAUGACUCUAGAAAAGUGUUAUACAAUUUAUUUUUGAGUCAUGCAUUAAAUGGUGUUUAUUAUUUCUUAUAAAUAUGUAAUAUAAAGAUAUUCGAUUCAGAUGAUAAUUCAUAGAUAAAAUAUAUGCAAUUAUAAUUUAAAUAACUCAAACCUGACCGUGACCGAAGCGACAGCGCAGAUGAGUGAACAGGGCGCCGGCCAGCCCCACCUCUAGGUAGUGUGGGCCCCGCUUUGCUAUGUGCGAUCUUGGUUCGAUUGUAUUCCGAAUUACACUACUUUUCCCACUGAGUUUCGUGAUUGAGAUGUGCCUCCCCCACACUUAUUUUUCUUUAUGCUUUCCUGCGCAGUAUGUGGAGACAAACACAUACAAAAGAAAUAGAGAAUAGAGUAGAUAAAAUACAAGACACUUUAUUUAUUCAUGAUGGUGAUAAUUUAACAGUCGCUUUAACGACUGAGCUAACGACUGCCCUAGCUCGAUGGGCUUUGUCCUAAGAAAACCUUUAUGACUCGACUGGCCUAACUAACUAGCCAAACCUAGCGGAAUUGUGCCUUAUUAAUAGGCAACUAGACAGCUAUGGCUGCCCUUUCUUGUUGAGGCCAUAAAUUUCCUCGUGAAGGGCUGCAACCUCUGCUUCGAGCUUGUAUUUAUCAUCCUUGAGGCUGCAGAUCAAUUUGAAACUCAUCCCUAACUGCUUGUCCAUGCCUUCUAUAAGCUUGUCCCUUCGAUAUUGGACUUUUCUACCCCCCUAACAAUGUCAGAGAAGCCAUCAAGCUUCUCGUUGAGGGUGUGCAAGGUAGGAGUUGUCUGCUUGGGAGCUUUCUCCAGUGCUAGUGCUGAUGUUGCUCUCUUCCUUUUGGGCUUAGGCGUUGGUGCGAGAUGCUCAACGUAGCACACCUCAUUAGGGUUAGGCCGAACGCCUUGGAUAACUAGACAAGCAGUGGUAUACUUGGCACAGAUCAACUUCCCGUUCUUGUCGGUUUGGACGGACACGAGCCACUCAUUCUCCCUGGGUUGAAGAAGCGGAGUACUGUUGAGGAUAGCGACCUACUCCCCAUUAGCAAUCCCUUGUAGCAAUCGCCUUGUUUGAGAAGGAUCAGAUGGUUCUUGCACAUAGUAGGCUUGCUCAUAGCGCUAGGGUACUCUAGCGACGUGCUUCGGUGGCACAAUGGUGAGAGGCUUUGGUGGCAUAAUGGCGAGAGGCUUCGGUGGCACAACAGCAAGAGGGUUCGGCUGGGCGAGGACGAGGGCCUUCGAGUCAUCGCAGGGGAUGUUGCUGAAGUCCGUGCCCUGGGAGACGACUGCCUUGUGUGCCAUUGCUAAUAGACUAGAGAGCUUCUCUCGGGAAAGAGGUGGCUGGAUAUGGGAUUUGAGCAGGGUCUAGAUACGUAUUUAUAUGGGUUUUCAGGAGACGGGAUGAGGACAGAUUCUAGGCUCUACAGGAUCCGUACGAAAGAAUAUCCGGUUACGAUUGGAUUAUGUGCGCAUAUCCAUAGGAAGAGUGUAGAAGAACAGGGAACAAGAGUCGGGACGAGGGGCGAUAGGGGGGCGCCGACCGGCACCACCUAGGCGCCGGCCGGCCCCACCUAGGGCCCGCUUCGGGUGCCCUUCUGUGUGGUUCCUUAAGACUCUUGCUAUUUUCUAUUAAACAUGUUUCCAGAUAAAUAUUCGUACUAGAAAAAAUAGAACUUAAUAUGGUGGCAUUUGGAUAAAUUCUAUCUCAUCAAUUACUCCUGAAUCAUAUGUUUCUAAAUAAAGUUUGAAGUCAGUGUCCAUUUACCUUGAAUAAUGUACCUUUGCUUGGUUUUAGAGUUACUGAUUCGUGUGGUGAUGAAUUCACAACGGUGAAGGGUCCAUCCCAUUUGCUCCUCAAUUUUUCAAGCCCGAAUAAUUUGAACCUAGAAUUAAAAAGUAAUACCCUAUCUCCUGGUGCAAAUUCCUUCUUCUUGAUCCUCUUGUCAUGCCAUCUCUUUGUUCGCUCUUUGUAGAUCUUCAAAUUGUGGUAUGCCUUUUCUCCAUUUUUCUAGUUCUGAUAAUUGCAUUUUUCUUUUCCCUCCAGCGGCUUCAAAGUCCAUAUUCCAUCUUUUGAUAGCCCAAUGAGCUUUAUGUUCUAACUCGACUGGCAAGUGAAAAGUCUUACCAUAUACCAAUUGAUAUAGGGACACAUGUUGGGCAUUUUAAACACAAACAGAAAAAUCCGCAAGCGCACGGAUACCGAUGUAGCUUUCACCCGGGAGUAUUCCAGAGUAUCGAUUUUCCACAGGGGAUGUGAGUGUACUAAUUAAGAUUCAAGAUCACCCAAGGAUAACUAUAUAAUUAUUUUUGGUGGGAAAAGAGGAAGUUUCCUGAGAGUUCUCUAGCUGAUCUAAUAAUCAAGAAUUACUUCAAAGAUUAUUUAUUUCGGGACAUCAGAACACUAACCACAGAAAGAGAUGAGAAGGGGGCUAGGAAGCUCUGACUACGGUCCUACAAACACCGAUCCGAACGAGGUGGAAUACGUUGACCGUUAGGGCUGUCACUACUCUAGGGUUACCACAACAAUCCGCAGGAUUCGGUGCAAUUCCAGGUAAUUGCAAGACUAAACACCACGUCUAAUCUAUUAAUUACUACUCUAGCGUUGCAAAGACUAGAGCACUUGAUGCUAGAGGGAAUCCAAUAAAUAACUUGAAUGUAAGUAAAAGUAAUUAAACAACUCAGGAAUUAUGAAUUGAAGAACUUGGAGAAUGAUGAGGAACGAACCAGUUGCUGCAAAAGUACAAUGUUGAGGAAGAUCCGACACAUCCGGCUCCUCCUCCGCUCUCCUCUUCUCUCUCCCUAUUUUAUAGAUUACAACUAGUACUAACUAGAACUAGAGAACUAGAACUAGAACUAGAUGAACUAGAGGGAUCCUCUCUACUUGGAUGAAUAACUGAAACCUUAGCUUUGAUUCUGUAGAAGAGAUAUGUCCUCCAUGGGCCAGGGGGCCUGCUUAUAUAGCCCCUCCAAAUGAACGUGGACCGUCGGAUCAAACCGACCUUAAUUGCACGGUUUUCCUUGAUCCUCAAAGGCGGUGGAGCACGAUCUGUGAGACCUGCCCUGAUUGGUCACCAGGGCAGGGUGGGCGCCCAAGGGGGAGGGCGGGCGGCCUACCCCCGGGCACGCUCGGCCUCCCAUUCGUUCACGUGGCUUCUGGAGUCUUCUAGAUGAUAGAAAAUUAGCGCACAUGUUAGUAUCUCUAUGUAAACCCGACGUGUGGGCCUUUCCUCCAUAUUUCCUGAUAACCCCCCUGCAGAAAUAGACAAACACCAAAACUUGUGGAAUUCGGUCAAAUGAAACCCUAAUUUUGGAUGUUGGUUGCAUAUAGGUCCUUUUCCAUGAUUAGUUGACAGUUAAAUGUGAGCAUUAAGGACCGUCAACAAGCUCCCCCAAGCUUAACCUUUGCUCGUCCCUGAGGAAAGCUAAAAUCAGCAAGGAAACAGGGGUUACCUUUAUGCCUCUUACUACAGAGUUUUAAAGUUAUCACUAAGGUCUUAAGUGAUUGAAAAACAGAGCGAUCAAGUCAAGCACUAUGUCUCAAGUUCUUCUGUCUUACCUUUGUUCUAGAAUUUUUUAUAAGUUUGCAAAAUAAAACUGAGGCAUUUGCCUUCUUCUCGAAAGAUAUAUAAGUAGAGCUUUAAAAGUUUUAGCAUACUUACUUUGCAUUUUGCUAAAUCAAUGCUCGGAGCAAGGGAGAGGAAUGUCAUACUCCUAUAUCAAGACCUUUCACCUUUUUGAAAAGUUUGUCAUCUCUUACUGGCAUAUUGCUUAUUAGAGGGACCAUGGUCUAUCAUUUUUUUCUUUCUUUUUUCAGUCUCUCUCUCUUUUUUUUUCUUUUUUUUCAAGUGGGCAGCAAGUACCCCUAACUCUACUAUCGGACACGUGUCCAUUUUUUCCACUCAGGUGGGUAUCUUUGUACCCCUAAUUCUACUUCGGACACUUGUCCAUUUUUACCUCUCGUCUCACUCUUUUUUUUUCGAAUCAAAUUUUUGCAUAGUCCCAUGCCUCUAACGCAAUAAUACUUCGGAAGAGUGAAUCUUUUAUAUACUUAAAACAAAAAGAUCUUGAUCUUUGGAGCAUGAUAAUUCUCUCAACCAAAACUACAAGAAUUAACAAUGGCUUGAACAAAGCAAGUGCCCACAGUUUUAAUAUUUAUAUCUUAUAAGACUCUAGUUAUUAUGUCAAACGGGAUCUCUUUUUUUUUGAAUUUUUAGAUUUUCAAAAGAUAAAAUCUCUAGAACUCUAGCGAAAUUUGGAACAAGUUAAAUAGUAGCUCAGACCUUCUCAUAUCAUGUUUGUCAAUUACCUAGACUUGGAUCAAACUUUCUUUUUAUUUUAUUUAAAACUUAGGAUUACACAAAACUAUUGUAUAUUACUCAAAGGAAAAACUUUGUUUGGUUUCAUGGCUAUGCAUUUUUUUAUUUAUUUCCAAAUACUAGUAAAUAAAACCAAGAAAGAAAAGUAAUACUUAUCUAGAUACAUGUGGGGGUGCCUCCCCCAAGCUGGAUGUUGACAUAGUCGUUCACUCUUGUGGCCUACAUGUUUGGUUUACUCUUCUUAUGCCUCAAAAUCCUGCACAACCCAAAUAGACAACAAAACUCGUGGAGCAUGUUAAGGGUUAGGUAAUUGUCUAGAGCUUAUGAGAGCUUAAUGUGAGAAUUCUAUGAACUCAAUCACAUCAAGGUCCUCUACUAGGUCGUUUUGUGGCUCGAGAUAGAUUUUCAAGUGUUGACCAUUUACCUUAAAAGUGUUACCUAUGCCAUCUUGGAUGGUAAUGGCUCCAUGAGUGGAAGUGUCAAUAACCUUGUAUGGUCCAUCCCACUUACUUCGUAGCUUACCAUGCCCAAAGAGCUUAACUCUUGAAUUGAAUAGUAGAACCUUAUCUCCAGGCUUAAACUCCUUGUGCUUGAUUCUCUUAUCAUGCCAUCGUUUUGUUCUCUCUUUAUAGAUCCUUGAUUUGUGGUAGGCUUUCUCUCUCCAUGCUUCUAGCUCAGAUGGUUGUAUCAGACGAUUCUCGCUAGCGAGGUGGAGAUCUAUGUUCCAUUUCUUGAGUGCCCAAUGAGACUUAAACUCUACUUCCACAGGCAUAUGACAAGUUUUUGCAUAUACAUGUUGAUAAGGUGACAUGCCUAUGGGUGUUUUGAAUGCAGUUCUAUAGGCCCAAAGUGCAUCAGGAAGUUUGUCCUUCCACCCCUUACCAUCUCAUCUACGGUCUUUUGUAAAAUAUUUUUGAUUUGUUUGUUAGAUGUUUCGGCUUGACCGCUAGUCUGAGGAUGGUAUGGUGUUGCGACGUUGUGUCGAACUCCAUGAUCGGCUAGGUAGUUCCGUAAGAUUUUGUCGAUGAAGUGGGAACCUCCAUCGCUUAUAACUAUCCGGGAUAUACCAAAGCGAGGAAAGAUUACUUCAUGGAACAUUCUCUUGGCAUGUUUUGAAUCAGCUGAUCGACAAGGUAGGGCUUCUACCCAUUUGGACACAUAGUCCACAACUACUAAGAUAUACUCACAAUUCCCGGACAUUGGGAAUGGCCCCAUGAAAUCAAUGCCCCAUACAUCGAAAAGUUCUACUUGAAGAUUAUUUGUGAGAGGCAUUUCAUUCGUGAGUUAAUAUUCCCAUGUUUUUGACAUCGGUGGCAUCUCUUGACAAAGUCUUUUGUAUCUUAAUACAUUGUUAGCUAGAAAUAGCCACUUUGCCAAAUUUUAGCAUGUGUCCGAGAAUGCUCCAUAGUGUCCUCCAUAUGGUGAGGCAUGGCAUCUUUCGAUAAUUUGAGUAGCCUCAGCCAUAGGAACACACAUUCUCAAGAGUCCAUCAGUGCAGACUCGGAAAAGAUAUGGCUCAUCCCAAAGGUGGAAACGACUAUCGUGAAGCAACUUCCUUUUGUUUGUACCAGGUGGGACAUAGCCUUUUACUAUAAAGUUUACGAUGUCUGCGUACCAUGGAUCUGCAUGUGUUAUCUUAAGCAGGGUGUCAUCCCUUAGGUAGUCAUUUAUGGGAAGCUCAUCAUGGGUUUCCUUAUAUUGGAGCCUAGACAAGUGGUCGGCUAUGGAAUUCUCUACUCCCUUCCUAUCUCGGAUUUCUAUGUCAAAGUCUUGGAGUAGAAGAGUCCAUCGAAUUAGAUGAGGCUUAGCAUCUUUCUUAGUGAGGAGGUACUAUAGAGCAGCAUGGUCUGAAUAGAUGAUUAUCUUUGCCCCCACUAAUUAUGAUCUAAACUUGUCUAUAGCAAAGACAACAGCCAAAAGCUCUUUUUCAGUUGUAGUGUAAUUGAGCUGUGGUCUAGACAAGGUUUUGCUAGUGUAGGAUAUGGCAUAAUGCUUUUUAUCCUUGGUUUGUCCUAAAACGGCACCAACUGCAAAAUUGCUAGGUUCACAAAUGAUCUCAAAAGGAAGAUUCCAAUCAGGUGGUUGGAUAAUCUGGGCUGACAUGAGUGCUUUCUUAAGAGUUUGAAAAGAUUCAUGACACUCAUCACUAAAUAUGAAAGGUGCAUCCUUAGCUAGGAGACUAGUUAGGGGUCUAGCAAUUUGAGAGAAGUUCUUGAUAAAGCGUCUAUAGAACCCUACAUGUCCCAAAAAGCUACGGAUUCCUUUCACAUUCAUGGGAGGUGGAAGUUUUUCAAUAAAUUCAAUCUUUGCUUUGUCACCCUCUAUACCACGUUCGGACACUUUAUGUCCUAGCACUAUUCCUUCCUGAACCAUAAAAUGGCAUUUCUCCAGUUCAGGAUUAAGUGCUUUUCUUCAGAUCGCUGCAAGACUCUAUCUUAAUUCUCCAAACAAUGAUCGAAGUUUUUGCCAUAGAUGGUAAAAUCAUCCAUGAAAACCUCCAUGAUCUUCUCAAUCAUGUUCGAGAAAAUAGACAUCAUGCACCAUUGGAAAGAAGCUGGAGCAUUGCACAAUCCGAACGACAUUCAUCGGUAUGCAUAAGUUCCAUACGGGCAUAUAAAGGUAGUCUUUUCUUGGUCAUCUGGGUGGAUUGGGAUUUGGUGAUAUCCAGAAUAACCAUCAAGGAAACAGAAGAAAGAGUGGUUUGCAAGCUGUUCCAACAUUUCAUCAAUGAAGGGUAACAGAAAAUGAUCUUUCUUUGUAGCCUUGUUGAGUUUUCGAUAGUCAAUACACAUACGCCACCCAGUGACAAUUCGUUGAGGGAUGAGUUCAUUCUUCUCAUUCCUAACGACCAUCAUUCCUCCUUUCUUUGGCACUACUUGGACAGGGCUAACCCACUCACUAUGUGGCACAGGAUAAAUAAUCCCAGCAUGAUAGAGUUUGAGGACCUCUUUCUUAACAACCUCUCGCAUAGCAUUGUUAAGUCUCCGUUGUGGUUCCCUUGAAGGUGUAAAAUUGGGAUCAAUAGGGAUACGAUGAGUGCAGAGAAUGGGACUAAUGCCCGUGAGAUCUUCAAGAGAGUAGCCAAGUGCUGAUCUAUGACUUUCAAGAACAGUGACAAGUUGUUGUGUUUCAUAAUCGGAAAGCUUGUCACUGAUAAUUACUGGAGUUUUUGGGCUGUUGUAAAAAAGACAUAUCCAAGGCCAGAAGGAAGUGGUUUUAACUCUAUCGAAGGAGGUGAAGGUUGUUAAUUUUUGUCUAGCUCAACGGGUUCUACCAACUCUUCUUCUUCUUGAACAAAGUGUUCAUGAUUAAAGAAUGGUUGGGCCAUCUCCUCUUGAGUCAGCAUUAAGAUCUCCUCAAUAGGAUCUGAUUCAAGUUUGGGUUCCACUAUCGUGUUAAUUGAUCUAACAAGAGGAACAACAAUAGUGGAAUUCCCAACCUUUAAGUCUAGAUGACCUCGUUGUGGUUGUUCUUGUAGAAGUUUCAAGAUUGGUCUACCAAUCAAGAGAGGAAUCUCCAGUAUGUCAAAAAUUUGAAAAUCUAGAAAUAUUCCAGAGUCCUUGAUUCUAACAGGAACUGCCCUUAAUACCCCAUGGCUUUCUAGAAUUAAUCCAGAUGGACUUUGUAAAUGUUUUUGGGAUGGGGUUAUGGACUCGUUGGGAUAAAGAGUGUCAGCUAACUCCUUGGAAAUAACAUUUAUCCCAACAUAUGUAUUGUAGUGGACCUUCCUAGCGGACCCUCUAAUUUAGCACAUAAGAAUGGUUGAAGGAGUGAUGAUCCGACCUACCUCAGGAGACAGCUCUGCUUCUGUUAGCCAUUCAUAACUCAGAAUAGCCGAAAGGCUUUUGAUGUGUUCUAUGUCAAUAGAUUCUACUCUUAGAACGGAUUGAGUGGUCCCUACUAGAGGUCGUGUUUGUAUAGGAAAAUUCAAGGUGUUUCCAUAAUCUUCAAAAAGAUCUUCCUCGAAUUCAAAGGGAUGCUCUAAAGGUAGUGGUUCAUCAUCCCUUAGUUGGUUUUGCAUUCCCUUAUUAGGAGGUUUUUCUACAACCAAAUUAAUAGAUGGGUCAGGUGGAAUUUCUAACUCGGUUGCAAGUUCCUCAUCUUUUGGUUUAGGAUCAGGCUCGACUUCUUUUUAUUCUUCAAGAAACUCAUCAUAAAUGCCUGCGUAAGGGGUAUUUUCAAGUAUUCUCUCUAGGAUAGCUCUCCCCUCAUCUAUGAGUUUGUGUGCGAAUGAGCCUCGUGAAGCAAUGUCGAGGUGAAGAGUAGCUUCCUUCUUUAGACCACGAUAAAAGUGGUAGCACAGUACAUGGUCUGGUAGGGAAAGGUUUGGACCAGAAUUGGUAAGGCUUGUGAACCUAGCCCAAGCUGCUCCUAAAUUUUCCUUCUCUCUUUGUUUGAAUGUAAGAAUUUCAAUUCUAAGGUCAGCGAUUCGAAAAAGUGGGAAGAAAGUGAGACAAAAGUUGUCCCGAAGUUCAUCCCAAUUUCCAUUAACGCCUCCUACAGAAUGAGCAUACCACUUUUUUGCUCUUCCCAAAAGGGAGAACGAAAAUAAUUUCCAUUUAAGGGUUUCUUGUGUCAUGCCGGAAAUAGAUCGGCAAGAGCACAACUGCUCAAAUUCUCUAAGGUGGGUGUGUGGAUCUUCAUCUACUUGCCCAGAGAAGGGUUGCUCCUGAAUCAUGGCUAUUAGAUCAGGGCCGAGGUCGUAGCCAUUUGUAAGAAUUGGAUGUGAUGAUGGUGGUGGCUCUAAUAACUCGCCCUUUGGAGCAAAGAAUUUAUAGAUAGGAGUGAAAUCCAUGUGGUAUGGUGAAAAUGGUAAGGUGAGUGUGGUAAAAAAAGAAAAGAAUAGAAUAGACGGAUGACUUGGUUCGAAACUAGCACAGCUACCGUUCCCCGGCAACGGCGCCAGAAAGCUUGUUGGGUAUUUUAAACGCAAACAGAAAAAUCCGCAAGUGCACGGAUACCGAUGUAGCUUUCACCCGGGAGUAUUCCAGAGUAUACUUUUCCACAGGAAACGUGAGUGUACUAAUUAAGAUUCAAGAUCGCCCAAGGAUAACUAUAUAAUUAUUUUUGGUGGGAAGAGAGGAAGUUUCCUGAGUGUUCUCUAGCUGACUAAGAAUCAAGAGUUACUUCAAAGAUUAUUUAUUUCGGGACAUUAGAACACUAACCACAAAAAGAGAUGAGAAGGGGGCUAGGAAGCUCUGACUACGUUCCUACAAACACCGAUCCGAACGAGGUGGAAUACGUCGACCGUUAGGGCUGUCACUACUUUAGGGUUACCACAACAAUCCACUAGAUUGGGUGCAAUUCUAGGUAAUUGCAAGACUAAACACCACGUCUAAUCUAUUUAUUACUACUCUAGCGUUGCAAAGACUAGAGCACUUGAUGCAAGCGGGAAUCCAAUAAAUAACUUGAAUUUAAAUAAAAGUAAGUAACGAACUCAGGAAUUAUGAAUUGAAGAACUAGGAGAACGAUGAAGAAUGAACCAGUUGCUGCGAAAGUACAAUGUUGAGGAAGAUCCGACAAAUCCAGCUUCUUCUCCGCUCUCCUCUUCUCUCUCCCUAUUUUCUAGAUUACAACUAGAACUAACUAGAACUAGAACUAGGUGAACUAGAACUAGAACUAGAACUAGAUGAACUAGAGACAUCCUCUCUACUUGGAUGAAUAAUUGAAACCCUAACUUUGAUUCUAUAAAAGAGAUAUGUCCUCCAGGGGCUAGGGGGCCUGCUUAUAUAGCCCCUCCAAAUGAACGUGGGCCAUCGGAUCAAACCGACCUUAAUCGCAUGGUUUUCCUUGAUCCUCAAAGGCGGUGGAGCAUGAUCCGUGAGACCUGCCCUGAUUGGUCACUAGGGCAGGGCGGGCGCCCAAGGGGGGAGGGCGGGCGCCCUGCCCCCAGGCCCGCUCGGCCUCCCUUUCGUUCUCGUGCUGAUGGAGUCUUCUAGAUGAUAGAAAAUUAGCGCACACGUUAAUAUCUCUAUGUAAACCCGACAUGUUGGCCUUUCCUCCAUAUUUCCUGAUAACCCCAUGCAGAAAUAGACAAACACCAAAACUCGUGGAAUCCUGUCAGAUGAAACCCUAAUUUUGGAUGUUGGUUGCAUAUAGGUCCUUUUCCUUGAUUAUUUGACGGUCAAAUGUGAGCAUUAAGGACCAUCAACAACAUACCCAAAGGUGUUUUAUAAGCUGUCAGCUAUGCCCAUAACGCAUUUGGUAACUGAUCCCUCCAUAGAGUUCCCAUCUCAUUUACUGUUUUUGGAGAAUAUUUUUGAUUUGUUUAUUUGGUGUUUCUGCCUGGCCACUUGUCUGAGGAUGAUAUGGAGUAGCGACAUUAUGUCGUGUUCCAUGAGUUUGUAGGUAUAAGUUAAACUUUUUAUCAAUGAAGUGUGUUCCUCCAUCACUUAUAACUAUCCUAGGUGUUCUAACCCUUGGAAAUAUAAUCUCUUCAAACAUCCUCUUUGAAUGUCUUGAGUAAGCCUUCUUGCAUGGUAUGGCUUCUACCCACUUGGAUACAUAGUCAAGUGCCACAAAAUGGUCCCAUGUAAUCAAUUCCCCAAACAUCAAAGAGCUCUAUCUGAAGAUUGUUGGUGAGUGACAUAGCAUCUCUAGUAGUGCUAUUUUCGUGCCUCUGACAUGGCCCAUAUCUUCGGAUAAAAUCUUUGGAGUCUUCAUACAUGGUCGGCCAGAAGAAACCACUCUAUCAAAAAUUUGAAUGAGUACGGCAUACCACAUAAUGACCUCCAUAUGGUGAUGAAUGACAUUUCUGAAUGAUCUUCAUGCCCUCCUCCACAGGUACACAUCUUCUAAGCAACCCAUCUGAGCAUACCCGAAAGAGAUUGGGUGGAUCCUAUAUGUGGAGACGACUUUCAUAAAUGAGCUUCCUCUUGUUUUCUCCUGGUGGAACAUCUCCUGCAACCAUAAAGUUGACAAUAUUCGCGUACCAAGGAUCUAUCUUGGUCACUUUAAAUAGCAUGUCAUCUCUUAAUGAGUCAUUAAUAGGUAACUUGUGAGGUUCUUUAAAAUACAUCCUAGACAAAUGAUUAGCAAUAGGAUUUUCCACACCUUUUUUAUCUUUAAUUUCCAUAUCAAAUUCUUGAAGUAAUAAGAUCCAUCUUAUUAAUCAUGGUUUAGCAUCUUUCUUAAUGAGCAAAUAUUUAAGAGCAACAUGGUCAGAAUAAACAAUUAUUUUUCAGUGGUUGCAUAAUUUAAUUGCGCUUCUGUCAUUGUUUUUGCUAACAUAAGAAAUUGCAUGAUGCAUUUUAUCUUUUGUUUGCCCUAAGAUUGUGCCUACACCAUAAUCACUAGCAUCACCACUAAUUUUAAAACGUAAAGACCAAUCAGGGGGUGAAUGAUUGGUGCUGAUGUGAGUGCUCCCUUAAGAAUAUUAAAAUAUUCUAAGCAUUCAUCAUCAAAUUCAAAGGGUACAUCCUUAGCUAAUAAUCUAGUCAUUGGCCUAGCAAUUUGUGAGAAAUUUCUUAUAAAUCUAUGAAAAAAACACAAUGACCAAGAAAGCUUCAGAUUCCUUUUAUAUUAACAGGUGGAGCUAGUUGCUUGAUUACUUCAAUUUUAGCUUUAUUUACCUCUAUACCUCUUUCUGACACUAGGUAUCCUAACACUAUUCCCUCUCUAACCAUAAAAUGACAUUUCUCCCAAUUGAGGACUAAGUGUUUUUUUACAUCUUUGCAAAACCUUAUCUAAAUUUUGUAAACAAUCAUCAAAUGUUUUUCCAUAAAUUGAAAACUCAUCCAUAAAAACUUCCAUGAUCUUUUCUAUCAUAUCAGAAAAUAUAGACACCAUGCAUCUUUGAAAAGAAGCGGGUGCAUUACAUAAUCCAAAAGGCAUUCUACGAUAAGCAUAAGUUCCAUACGGACAUGUAAAUGUGGUUUUGCUUUGAUCAUCAGGGUGGAUAGGGAUCUGCUGAUAUCCUGAAUAACCAUCAAGAAAACAAAAGAAAGAAUGAUUAGCUAAACGCUCUAGCAACUCAUCAAUGAAAGGUAGAGGAAAAUUAUCUUUCUUUGUUGCUUUGUUGAGUUUUCUAUAAUUUAUGCACAUUCGCCAUCCAGUGACAAUUAUUUGAGGUAUUAAUUUAUUUUUAUCAUUUUGGACAACUGUCAUUCCUUCCUUUUAGGCACAACUUGCACAGGACUUACCCACUCACUAUGCAGUAUAGGAUAUAUAAUCCCUCCAUGCAAAAGCUUUAAGACCUCUUUCUUUACUAUGUCCCUCAUCGCAUUCUGGAGUCUACGCUGAGGCUCUCUUGAAGGUGUAAUUUCUGGGUUGGUUGGUAUGCGAUGAGUGCAGAGAACAGGGCUAAUCCCUUUUAGGUCUUGGAGUGAAUAACCAAAAGCAGCACGGUAUGAACAGUUAUUAGUUUAUAAGUCUCCUCAUCUCAGAGAUUAUCACUUAUAAUUAUAGGAUAUUUUUUAUCAUUAUUUAGAAAAAAUUAUUUAAGUCUAGAAGGUAGUGGUUUAAGCUCAAUAGGAAGGUUAAGUGGCUCUAGUAAUUCAUCAAGAGGUUCAGGAUUAGUAAGAUCCGCUUCCUCUUCUUUGAUGAAGAACUGGGUAUCACCUUCUAAAUCAGGUUGACUAAAAUUAUCAAAUUUAGAUGACUUAACCUCUUCUAUUGGAUCUAAUUCAGAAAGGGGUUCUGCUUUAACCUUUACUGUAUUAGUUAUAGGCAUUGAAAAACUAAAUCUUUUCCCAAAUUUAACGUUUAAUUUACCAUUACGACCUUCUUGAAGAAGUUUUAUUAUAGGUACUCCAAUCAUUACAUUAAAAUCCCACACAUUAAAUAUAUAAAAAAUUAACAAAAUGUGGAAAUCAUUAAUAACAAUAGCAUGUGCACUCAAAACUCCUAAGCUAGGAAUAAUAUGUCCUGAACAACUUUUUAAUAAUUUAUUUGUAGGAAUUAAUUGUAUGUCUUUCAAGAAUUCUUUAGCAAAAGUAUAUGACAUAAUAUUGACUCCUACAACCGGAUUAUAUAAACCUUCAAAAGGAUGUGAAUCUACAUGCAACUUUAUAGCAACUCAGGGUGAAUUAAAGUGAAUUACUUGAGGGGAUUUCUUAGAUUCUAUUAACCAAUCAUCACCUAAAAUGAAGAUUAAUUCCCUUAUAACUUCUUUAAGAAAUUUUAAAUCGUCGGGAUGUGAGAAAAUAGGAUUAAAAUCCAUAGAUUGUUGGGGUUGAAUAAUCUUAUAAUAAAAUGUAGUAUUACCAAAAUCAUCAAAGAAAUCAUCCUCAAUUUCAAACAUCCAUUCAGAAUCUGGAGUUAUCUCUGUCUCUUUAGCUAAUUCAACUAUAGAUUGAGAUGAAUCAAGUAAAAGUUUAUUUUCAGCUAACCGAAAUUUUUCUUCUAAUAACUCUUCUUUUUCUUCGUGGAGACCAUUUAAAAUAUUAGUAAGAAUAGUUAUAGCAUUAUCAACAUUAAUAUGCAUAAAUGCUCCUCCCGAGGCUAAAUUAAGGUAUUUUUGAUUUUUAUUAUUAAGGCCUAAAAAGAAAUGUUGUAAAAGCAUGGCUUCCGGUAAAGCAAGAUUAGGUCCAGAAUUUACAAAACUAUCAAAACGAUCUCAAGCCUUGCCUAGUGAUUUCUUGUCCAAUUGUUUGAAUCCUAUAAUUUCAAACCGAAUUUUAACGACCUUUUCUGCUAGGAAGAAUUUAAGGCAAAAAUAUUUUCGUAAUAUAUCCUAGUCUCCUUGACUAUUCCCAACAUGGCGAUUAUACCAUUUCUUAGCUCGACCCAUUAAUGAAAAUGGAAAGAGAUUCCAUCUUAGAGUUUCAUCAACCAUGCCCUUAAUUUUUAGACAUAAACAUGUCUGCUCAAAAUCAGCUAAAUGGGAAUAGGGGUUUUCAAUAGAAUUACCAGAAAAAUAUGUUCUUGAACUAUUUUGAUUAGUCCCGGGCAUAGCUCAUAGCUAGAUGAUGUGAUAGGUUUAGAAGAUUUUUUGGCUGGAGGUACGAUCUCGACGGUGCUCCAUAUUGAUAUAAAAGUUGAGAUUCAAUUUCCAUAUCUAUAUUAUAUAUUAUCUAUAUAUAUAUAUAAGGAUAACUAUAGAUUAAGAUAGACUAAUGUCAAAAAUCAGCAAACCAUUCCCCGACAACGGCGCCAGAAAUGCUUGUUGAUAUAAAUUAGCUGUACCCUAAUAAUAAUUAUAAUCAGAUUGUCCGCAAGCGCAAAGAUAUAUACUAAUCAGCACUUCACCAAGGUCAACCCGGUUUUAAUAUCGAACCCAAAGGAACAGUAAGUGAUUUAUCACUUAGCCCAUAAUUUCUUAAUAUAAUGGGGCACAAACAGUCUAGAAACUAUUGGUGAUGAGGAAAUACUAAUGUAUUCUGGUUCCAAUAACCGGUAAACUUUGUAUAGUAUCAUUUUAUCGGGCAAGUCAUCUGAAUAGGGGAAGAAUCAGAGUAAUCCUCUAUCAGGCACCUAUAAUCCUAUCAAUCCUAUCAACGGGAACUGGACUACAGAGGAAUCAACGCAGCUAUAAAGUCACGUACGCGAACUACCACUGUCCGGCUGAUUAGGGGACAUUCAUAAGCAACCAUAGCCAAGACACCACGUCUACGCUACGAAUCACUACUGCGACCUAGGAGCUUACCAAAUCGUAGUACUCAAUAUAAUAUGAGUUGCAAACCAAAGAACGAAUACAAACAAGUUGCUUACUUGAAUUAGAUGGGUAAAUACAAAAGUACCUCAGAACGCGGUUCCGGGCGAGGGUGCCGAAUCCAAAUGAAUACAGCUCCUAAGGAAGCUCCGACAGACCGGGACUCCUCUGAAUCUCUACUCCUCUACUCUAUCUCUCUAAUCUCUAUCUUGAUUGCUAGCAUAGAUCUAGUGGAUCUCUAUCUAAUGCUUUGGCUCUUCAUCUCUUGAUCUAGCCUCCUCUAGUGGGUCUUGCCUUCUAUUUAUAGCCUGGUGGGGAGAACGCGCACCGUUGGAUCAAACUGAAUUAACAAGCGGUCGAGAUGGCUCCUCAGAGGCGGUGGAGGAAGCUUCCAGAAGAGGGGAGCAAACCUUAGCAGCAGGGGGCCAGCCGGCGCUAGGGUGGGGCAGAUUGGCCCCACCUGGUGGCUACUGGCUCCCCCUCAUGUCGAGUGUCUUCUAGAGUGUUCCUGAAUCCUUCGGUGUCAUCCUUUCAUCGCGGCUAAGUGUCAUGGCCGAUUAGCACUUAAAUCCCUCUUUUCAGCACUUUCUAAAAUAAUCCCAAGAAAACACAGAUUAUACAAAACUCAUGGAAAUUGGUAGUGGUAACCCUAUUCUAGUAGAUAUUCAUUUCUGGUGGAGAAAUAAAUGCUAACAAAUUUUGUAAGUUAACAAGUGUCAACAGCUCACGAUAGAGAAGACGCUUCAGGGAUAAUGAUGUAGCACUUGUGCCAUAGUAUGUAUGCCUUCUCUACUUCUCCUAGAGUUUACUAUCCAUCACCUCCACGAAUGUGAAGAGCUACAUUGUCAUAAUCGAUGCUCGCUUCAUCGACUGUGACGAUAGCAUAUCCAGGUGGUAUUAGUGCCCCAUAGAUUCUUGGUUCUUGGUAGGGUCCGGAGGAUUAUAAGCAGUGACAACAACCUUGAUUCUGUCAUUCCCCCUUGGCAUAUGUAGCUCAAUUUAUGUCAUUGGAGUAGUGACAUCAUUCAUGAGGAAGCACAGCGCUGCGUUAUCUUGAUUUGGUAGCUUAGUGGAAACACAACUGCUUUUCAACUAACCAGGGGCUAAUAUUAACAUUCAUUCUUGGACCCAGUGCCAACUCUAGGCACUGAUUGCUAUCUUCACCUGCUUUUUGAUUUCUUCAUGCAUUCUUCCUUCCAUUGCUUUGGCUCGCUCUUCUGCCUGAAGCAUCGUUGCUCCAACGUUAUGGUUUGCGCUACUUCCUCCACCUUCCUUCUUUGGUGGCUCCAGUAGGUUUCCUUGUCAUUAGUCUUGCAAGAUCCAUAACUCAAAGAUGGGGAAGAUGACAUCUCUGAUAGGGGGUUGACGCUCACGAAUGCUCAUUUUUAUCCAUCAACUAUUGUUUGCUAUGAUAUGACAUGAACCACUAAGCAUAGUUAUAGGGUUUAUAUCUAUUGAGUUCCAUGAUUUUUGGUGAAUAUUUGUUUCUGCAGGGGGAAUAUCAGAAAUUAGCCAAAAGAGGCCAACAUGACAGAUUUACAUUGAGAGAAGACCAUAUCGGUAAUCAAAGAACAAUCUAGAGGACUUAGGAAGGUAGCACCUCAAAGUUGAGGCCCACUUGGCAUUGAGCCUGUGCGGGCAACCAAGCCAUUGGGGCGGCCGCCCCUCUCCCUGGACCAAUCAGGGGGAGUCUUCUGGAUCCUACCUCCACCGACCUUGAGGAGUAAUCUUGACCACCUAUUUGAUCCGAGGGCUAUGAUGCUUCCCACUGGGCUAUAUAAGUAGAGGUAGACCCCCCUCAAAGGCAUAUCCUUCAUUAGCUACAUCUAGAGAAAAAAAUAGGAUUUCAUCAAGUAGAGAAAUAGAGGUCCCUCUAGAUUUCUAGUUCUAGGUCUUCUAGUUCAUCUUCUAGUUCUAGUUCUUGUUCAACUAGUUGAAGUUGUCUAGUUUAUCAUCUAGCUAAUCUAGAUGUAAACUAGAGAAGAGGGAGAGAGGAGAGGAGAAAGCUGAGAAGGAGUCAGACCUGUCUGAUCUUCCUUGGCAUUGUACUUUUGCAGCAUCUGGGUUGUCUUGAGCAAUCUCCAGUUUCUUCAUCAUUUAUUUCUAUGUAUUUGAUUUAUAUAUUUUAGCCUUAUUAUAUUUACUGGAUCUCUGCUCAUAUUGAGUGCACUAGUUAUCCUGGGCAAUUAGAGUAGUAAGUGUGUAGAUGUGGCGUCUAGAUUAGGGUUUACCUAAGUUUGCACCUAAUCCUCUAGAUAGGUGUGGUAGCCCCAGAGGUGACAACUCUAUUAGGGCUUUGUAAUCCACCACAUUAUGGUUGGUGUUCCAUAGAGCUUUUUGGUAGCCUCCCCCCCCGAUUACCUCCUUCCCAAUCUUUUCGAGAGUCGGAAAGGUACUAUUGCUCAAAAGUAAGUAAAAUAGAGUAAGCCUUUGAUUAAAUUGAACUCUUUAGAAAACCCUAAGAUCCCUCUCUACCCUAUAAUUACUCUUCCCUUGAACGUUCUUAAUUAUUCUAGUUUACUUCACAUUUCCUUUGGAAAUCUAUACUCUAGAAUACUGGUGGGUGAAGGCUACAUCGAUUUCCGUGCGCUUGCGAUUUUUUCUAUGUGCGUUUAAAAUGCUCAGCAAGCUUUCCGGCGCUAUUGUCGUGGAACUGUAGCUGUUGUAGACUCAAACCAUGUUUGUCCAAGUUUUAUUUUUCAUUUACCACCUUUUAUAUUAUCAUAGUAUCCAACAAAUUCCAUUCCUAUCUAUCAAUAUGAUCUACCCAAUUAGCACAAACUUAGAGGAACUAGAGUCCAUAAUUCUCAUAUCUAGCUAUGAGUUGCACCCACGUUUGGUUGUAAUAGGUCAAAACCAACCAUUUUCUAUAGUGGAGGUCCUAUCUUCUAAUCAAGAGGGUAACAAACCCAAGGUCCUAUCUUCUAAUCAAGUAGGUAAUGAACUUUUGACUACACUAAGGGAAUUUUUUAAUCUUUUUAUAAAUUUAGGUUUAGAUCUAGCCAUACAAGACCCUGUUCCUCUCCAAUAUUUUCAUAUGGGUCUUGAUAAUAUCAUUUUUGGAGGAGUUUUUAUUUCUUUACCCAUUAUUAAAGCAAGGUUUUCCCUUAUUAGUAGACACAAUCCUUGCAUGAGCCUUCAUGAUGAACUCCUAGAGGUAAAGAAGGAAUCAUCCCCCAAACAAGAAGAGGAAUUUUCCAUAACCAUAUUACAAACAUUUCACUUCUACGAUUCGGCUAUCCAACCCAAAUCAGUUGUACUCCAAAAUCCUCUAAGGGAAGAAGAAAUUCUGCCCUUAGAAUUUUUUUCAAUGAUUAUUUUGGGAGGAGUGUAAACUUCCGGCUUCAUAAGAGAUCUUUAAGUUAAUAUAGUUUGAAUCCUCUGAAGAAGGGAUCUCUUAAAAAGCGUUCCAAAUCCAAUCUCGUUGAAGUUUAUUUAGGAAAACUGAAGGAUAACAAGUAUAGUGAUGCCAUAGUAGGAGUGCAAAACCACCUAGAAGACAAUCCUAUCCUCUCAUGUUCUAUACUCAUACUAGAUGACUUCUAUGAACCCACCAUUGAACCCAUCCGUGAGCCUAAUGAAUCCUCUAAUGCUCUUUCUCCUAAACCUCAUGACAAUCUUAAAAAUCCAUCUACACAUCAAACACAUAGGAAUCAUCUAGACCAUAAGGAGGAUCGAGAAGAGCAAUAUCAGUGGCCAAAGAGCAAUAAAAAACUAUAUGCUAUUGCCAUUGAAUGUGUGGAUGAGGCCUUAUAUGAAACCAAAUCGAAAGGCAAUCCAAGGGAAAUUUUAGACGUUGAUGAUGAAUCACCCUUAGCAGUUGGUAAUGAUAGAAACUUCAAUGAGCAAGGAAGCUACUUCAUAAACAUCUCCCAACCCAAUUGGUCCGUCCAUCCUCUCCACAUUUGAGAUCUCCAACCCUCUCAUUCUUCGUAUUUACAAUAAUUUCAAAAGGGUGGUCGUCGAUGCAUAUGUUUAUCAUAAAUAUUGUAGAUCUCGUUAUGCUCUUAAAUUUGGUGUUGGAAGGGAAACCACAUCACCAAAAAUAUUUUGAAUGUUUCCUAAGGACAACCUUAGUGUCCUAAAACAAGCGCUUUUCACAUCCUAACAUGCGUGUUCACCUUCUGCUAUGCUUGUGAAACAAGAAUUGAUAUAAUUAUGAAAAUAUUCCUUCGGGUAUUCUUUUCACUAACCUUUCAGGUAUGGAGCAAAAAGAACGAAGGAAAAACAAACACAAGGUAUGUCCAACCAAUCACCAUGCAACAUUGAAUUAAAUGCUUCCAAACUAGAUUUUUGGAAAAUUCAAGUUUGGGGGAAAACUUUCUAAGAACAUCCCCGACCAUGUUGCUAUCUUGGUUGUCACUAUUUUUAAGAUAUGCUUAAUUUUCUAUACAUCAAUCAUGUUCUCUUUCAUAUUCAUGUGAGUAAAUAUUCAUAGUGCUCUCAUGCCACCUUCGAACUGUUAUAGUUGUUGACACCUCUUAACACAAUUACUGAAAAUAGACUUUUAAACGUAUCACUAGCAACGGCGUCAAAAUUACUUAAGAUCACUUAAGCUAGUUUGUCACCCCUAACAUGAUGUAGAAGUGCUGCUAUUAAAUCUAUAUGUUUUUCUUGGAAUAAAAUAAAUAAAUAAAGAUCCGCAAGCGCAAAGAAAAUACGGGUGUAGCAUUCUAACUAGGAGUAUUCCAGGUAUUGUUAUCUAUAUUUUUAAUACUGGGAAGGGACUUGCAAUGGAUAAUGAGCAACGAGCAUUGAAUGUAAUCAAUGCAGACCUUAACCAUGUCUAGGCAUAGUGAUACUAGCAAGAAAGAUCAUGAAUAGAGCAAUCACUUCCCUAAAAUAAUGGUGCUCUACAAUCCUUAUAAUCGGGAGAAGGAAUACAAAGGACUCAAUAGGACUGUCACUCCCGCGAUCUACCUCAAGCUCUAGACUAUAAGGGGUAAUCGCAGAUAAAUACGAUUUAGGCACCUCGCCUACACAAUAUCUAUCACUUACCCAUCGGCCUAAUGACUAAGCCCUAUACGAUCCUAUACAUAAACAUAGUUCUAAUCUAACUAAGCUAACCAUAUAAUUAAAGUAGAAUAAGAAAAAUAUAAUUGAGAACAUAAACAAAUAGAAUAAAGACAAUUCCGAUAUAAUCAAAUAGAUCAAAGUCAUAUUCAUAGUAGCAAGAACUAAUAUAAAUAUAGCGAAGAGAAUAAGAGUUUACCAAGAACUAAAGAUUGAUCCGGACUCCAAGAUUAACUUGACUCCUUGUAGAUCUAAUCCUAUGUAGCUAUGUUAAAGAACUAUAGAGAUCUAAUUGAGAUGGUGGCUAAGAAUCCUAUAGAGACAGAUCCAUUCGAUGGACCCCUCUCUGUCUAAUUCUUCUUCUCUUGAUCUUUUUAGAGAAUAAUGAACUCGUCCUCUAGGGGGGUCAGGGUCUUUAUUUAUAGCCCCCUAGGAAUCACCGCAGCCAUUGGAUCAAACCGACUUAAACGUGCGCUUAAGAUUAAUCCUCAAAUUUGAUGGAGGCAGGAUUCGCUAGGUUGCACCUGAUUGGUGGAGGUGGCUGAGCAGCCGCCCCACCUGUCAGGGGCGCCCGCCCCUGGCCCACUUCAUAGGGUCGCCCUCCCGUGUCUUCUAGAGUAUUCUUGAGUUGACGUUUCAUGUACUCUCUCUAUGUAAAUCUGACAUGUGGACCUCCUUUUGUUCCUAUUCCGAUAACCCCCUGCAGAAAUAGAUAAACACCAAAACUUGUGGAAUUCUAUUAGUGAUAACCCCUAUAGCUGAAUAAUAUUCUGAUUUUAAUCCUUUCUCAUGCUAUGUUGACGGUUAAAAAGAGUACUUAUCUACGGUCAACAAACUCCCCCAAACAUACCUUUUGCUCGUCCCUAAGCAAAGAUAGACUUGGUGAUGGAUCAGGAGUUGCUACAAUGCUUUCAUGCCUCACAUGUGCACAUGUUCUCAAACAAGGACUCUCCUCCGGUUCAAAGUGAACUAUUAUGGCUCAAGUUUCACCCAUAUUACCUUUCACCAUGGAGCUUGUAGCUAUCACUUAGUUCUUAGGCAGUUGAAAGACAGAAUAGUUAAGUCGAGCACUAUUCUACUCACCCUUUGAUCAACUAUUUUUCUAGAGUUUUACAUGAUUUUCAAAUAAAACUUAGAGUUUCCUUGUAUGACACUUUCCAGUCUCUCAUAUGUGGUAUUUUUGGAUCCUCUCCUAGGCAAGGGAGUAUGCCUUCUCUCAACUCUCAGAAUAUGUGGUAUUUGUAGGACUAAGGCAUAGUUGCCUUCUCUCUCUCACCCUACUUCUAAUUGGCUUACGCGGAGCUCAUAGGUAUGAAAGACAAUUCAAACCUACUUACACGGAUUGCAUAGUUAAACCAUGGAUACAUAGAAACUAAUUAUAGAAUCAAGUCAUAUGUGCAUGUGAGUGAAUGAAGAGGAUGAUAUGGAUCGAAGUGGUUAUGAGGGGUGAUAACUGACGGUGAAUAUCUAAUUCUACAUUUGCUCCAUGGGGAAAACAUACCACCCGAAACUAAGAAUAAGAUCUUGGCUGACUUUGUUUUCUUUUCAAUUGGGACUUUUGACCUCUUUCUUUCUUUUCUCUUUUUUAGAUGUAACACCCUAAAAAUUUCACUUUUCCAAAUAGGCUAAUUGAUUUAAUUAUUUGAUGUGGGCACUGAGAAGUAGUAAGAAAAUAAUUUUUGUUGAAAUAAAAUCCACUAUAAGGUCUAGACACAUGUAUGAGCAUUCAUGCCGCUGCAUAUAUUUUGUUGAGUGGAGUUCAUUCAAUUCAAAUUGGUUUUACAAAUUCUUUUCAAAAGGUUUGAGAAAAAGCUGGAAAAAUAAAAAGGAAAAAGAUUUCCUCUCCCCCCUCCCUAUCUCGGGCUCGGCCCAUUUCUUUUUCCCCUCCCCGCGGCCCGCUUGCCUCCUUCCCCUUUCUUUCUCGCCGCGGCCCAGCACUCGCAUUCGGAUAGGCGCCAGCACAGCCCAGCAGCACGCGCCCACGCCUCCCCUUUGCCGCAGCAGCUGACACAGGGGUCCCGCGCUUCGGUUCACCGACAGGUGCGGCCGAGCGGUCAGGGUCUUCCCCUACCCUGAGUCUGAGCCGGUCACGACCGAGCUCAACAACCGCGUGCGAUUUCACGCGAGCUGUCCUCCUUCCGCCCGAUUCUAGCCCUUUAUAUACUGCCCCGAUGCCCCGCAAUCACCCAACUCAUCCCGAGCCGCAGCCGCCGCGUCAAACUCGCCGAAAUCCGUCGCCGAGAUCCGCACCACAGCCCAACCACUUUUGCAGCGUGUCCCAAGCACCGUGAGCAGCUUGCCGAGCUUCGGUUCCGGUUUGUGAAGUCGCCGGAGCUCUCCUUUCGCGAUUUCGAGGUCUUUGUGUUUUCCUAACCCUCGCCGAACAACUUUGCAGGGCCGCCGUCCGCCCUCCGCCAUCGUGGGCACUCUCUGGUCGUCCUCGGCUCCAAUCUUGGCCUCAGGUGAGCAUGCGUCGAGUUCCCGAGCAACCCCGCGCCUUUAAUUUGUUCUCUACCACUCUCUAUCGCCAGCUUGGCGAGCUCCGGCCGAGCUUAGCCAUGGCGCCGCCGCGUCCUGUUCAUCUCCGGCCGGCCGGCUUCUUUCCCCCCUGCGAUCUAAUCUGGACCGUCGUUUUGAAGUCCAACGGCCGUCAGCGAAGGAUACCCCUUUGGCUGUUCGUUUUGCAAAAAACCCCCUGAGGUUUUUAAAGUAUAAACCCGCGGUCCGUUUACGCUUUUGCUGUUUACGCUUUCCAAGUUUGAAUACGUAUUUUCAACCGCGCAGUUCAAAAAUAGUUUCAUCGGAUUUACAGUUUUGCCAUUGAAUCUAUUUUGCUCAUAAAAUAUUCGUUUUAACUCUGAUUUGAUCCGUUCAAGUUGCGUUAGAUUCGUUUUCGCGUACUCUAUAGUCCAAAGCUACUGUAUUACAAGAUUUCAACUUUUAAAAUCUGAGUUUAGAUUUAAUCUAUUAUUUUAUUAAAGGCAAUCUUAUUUAGAUCAUAACUUCUUCGUUUUAGAUCCGAUUUUUGUGAACCUUACGUCUGUGUGAUCGUAGAGCGAUGUAGAUUCGUUUUAUAAACUUUUUAUCUUUAUUUACUACUAUUGGUGCACUGUUCUAAUAAUAGGCUUGUUUGCUUUGUAUGAUUGUCUUUGGAUGAAUGCUGUUGAUGUGAUGGAUACGAAUAGAUGGUGAGCAGUUCGUGGGUGAACAAGAGUACUACUACGAGCAGGAUCAGCACGACCAGUGUGAUCAAGGCAAGUAUAGCAUGGGAUCAUCCUUGUCUCCUAAUAACUUUAAUCACACAAUUCAUAUUGCAUGUGUCUCCUUGAUAAGGAUUUCCUAGUAUUGAUCUUAUACCUUGUCACCUAUGGUUUUGCAUUGGGUAGCUUAUGCUAGUGCUCCACUAAACCAUGAUCUUGUAAUUUGACUAAAGAAUUAUGCAAUAAACAUUUAAAGAUGACUUUUUAGCAAUGUUGGAAAAGAGGGCUGGAGCAUUGGGCUAUCUUAUGGUGCUCUAGUUUCUCUCCAUAAGGACUUAACUGUAUCUGACCAUCCGGGACUUAUAGUACAACUGUGAGGGCUACAUGGCUCUGGAUUUAGCUCCGUAUGAGGACCUUUUCUAGCUUGUUAGUGGUUACCCUUGUGGCGCAAGUGGGGGAUAGCAGACCGUGGAUUCCUGCGGGUGAGUCACACGGACUGACUAACGAAACCUAGCGGCCCUAACUUGUUAGACGAACCUUUGAAAGGCUUCAUAGUGAACCCUGCCGGUCUUCCUAGAGAGUGGGCUAAGGGGCUGAUCACCUCGGGAAAAAGGGUAAAUCACGACUCACAGUGAAAGUGUACAACCUCUACAGAGUGUAAAACUGAUAUAUCAGCCGUGCUCACGGUCACGAGCGGCCUUGGACCAAUACAAAAUAAAUGAACACUAAUGGAAAAUCAUUAAAUGUUAUUAUUGUUAAUAUGUUGUUUAUGCUAUUCUUUAUUCACUUUACUUGAUCAUGAGUGUACUUUGGGACUCAACAACUUGAUGCUACUCAUAUGCUAAAAUUGUGACAACUAAAAGCAACAUGCAGUUGAACCAGUGUCUAACCUUUGAGCCUCAUGAACCCCCUGUUAUACUUGUUAAGUACGAGGUGUACUUACACUUGUUUAUUUUCUUUAUUUGGAUAAAAAUCCUGGAUGGGUAACAGAUGGCAUGGGUAAUGACUACUAUCAGUACUUCCCUGAGGAUUUCUAGACUUGUGGUCAACCAGUUGACAUGCCUGUGUGAUGGAGCUUCCAUGCAAGACUUAUCUUUUAUUUUCCGCUAUAUUUAUGUUAAGACUCUGAGUUAUAUCGUUAUGUAAUAAACACUUGUGAUGAUCCUCCCUAUAAUUUGUCGGCUUAUGUGUGAUUGAUCUUUGAGCACACAUAAGGUUUUGCAUUCAAUUUUAUCCUUAAAAUUGGGUGUGACAUUAGAUCAGCCAUCCCUUUUUAAUGCACUGAUAAAAGUCGUAGGGAGUAUCAACUGAAAUAACUGGAGCUUUAUUGGAUAAGUAGAAUAAGACAUAAUAGCAAUGGAUGAAGGAAUGCGUACUCCUAGGGUAGGAGCAACAUCAGUGUGUGUUCUAGGAUAGAAAUAGCACAGAGUGUAGUGCAUAUAUGUGGGUGGUACUUCCAGGAACAGAAGUAGCACAUUGUGAAUGUGGUGGAUGUAAGUGGUUGCAUACUUCUGAGGACAGAAGUAGCUAACAUCAAUGGAUGGAGAGCACAUAACAUUGACUUAAAUGCAUGUCUAGUUCCUUAGGGUCUACACAGCUUAACAAUCCUCAAUGCAUAAAGGUUGAAAUAUAAGUGCUGGAGGUUUUCCGAAUCUAGCAAGCUUGAGUAUUUGGCUGUGGUAGGAAUUAAACUCUCGUCAUAAAGGAACUCAUCAUGUAGCAAUUAAAAUUUUCAAAAUAAAUUCCCCAGAACUCUAGCAUCUCUAGGAGCAAGUUUGAUAGCAGCUGUUGAUAUUUGGUAACGCCAUCAGGAAAUGAUCCGCAAGCGCACGGAUAUCGGUGAGCACUUCACCCGGGAGGUUAUCCAGAGUAUCAUAUUUAUAUUUUUACCACUGGGAGAAAGUGUGCAUCUGACUAAGCAAAUCUAUUACUACUACCCUUUAGGCUACAAAGAAUGUGAUUCGAUGUGAGCGAUGUAUAGAGAAGACUGCAACCGUAGUCUCAUUCUAACCUUCGUAAGGAUGAUCUACUGUUCUAUUGGGGAGGCUUACGGAAUCCAGACACCACAGAGGAUGUUCGACCCACACCUAUAAACCCUACUCGUCCUGCUAAGGAGAUGUGGGCUGCAAAGGUAACUCAGAAAUGUCACGUUCCUCGCUACUACCACGGUCCAGCUAGUCAGGAGAUAUCUAUGAGUACCCUAGCCCAAACACCACGUUUACGCUAGCAAUGAUUACUCUAAACUCAACCAGAAGAGAUUAAAGUAAACUCAUAAACCAAAGAACAAUAAAACAAGAACUUACUAGAAUUUAGAAGUCGAAUUACCGAAGAAUCCUAGGAGCAAGCCUCGGGUUAGGAGAACAUGAUGCCGUAGGUACAACCUCGGAGUAGACACGGACAGGCCAGGCUUCCUCCGAUCUACACCUCCACUCUAUCUCUCUCAAUCUAGUAGAUUUAGUCUACUCUCACAUUGGAUGCUAAGCCCUAAGUCUAUUUAGAGGAAAGGUUAUCCUUCGAGGGCACCUCUCAACUCUAUGAUAAACUUGUUCUCCUCUAGGGGCCAGGGGGUCUGCUUAUAUAGUCCCCUCAAGUGAAUCUGGGCCAUCAGAUCAAACCGACAUUGAUUGAACGGUUAUCCUUGGUCCUUUAGGUCGGUGGAGCGUAAUCCGCGAGAUGGGUCCUGAUUGGACUCUGCACCAGGGCGGGCGCCCUAGGGGGGAGGGUGGGCGCCCUGCCCCCGGGCCCGAUCACCUUCCCAUUCGUUCCCAUGGCUUCUGGAGUCUUCUAGAUGAUACAAAAUUGCGCGGCAAGUUAAUAUCUCUAUGUAAACCUAACGUGUGGGCCUUUCUUCCAUAUUUCCUGAUAACCCCCUGCAAAAAUAGACAAACACCAAAACUCAUGGAAUUCUAUGAGUUAAAACCCUAAGUCUGGGUGUUUGUUGCAUUUGGAUCCUUUUCUUUAUUUAUUUGAUGAUUAUUUUUUGGUACUUAAGGACCAUCAACAACUCCCCCAAGCUUACCUCUUGCUCGUCCCUAAGCAAGGAUGAACUCAAGAGUUUCUGCAGUGGUUUCAUGCCUUAAAAGUACACAUGCAUUCAAGCAAGAUCUCAUCUCUGAGUUAGAAUAAACUGUUAAGACUUAAAACUUACUCAUUUCACCUUUCACCAUGGGGCUUGUAUCCGUCACUUGUGUCCUGAGCAGUUAAAAGAUAGAACAGUCUAGUCAAGUGUCAUGUCUCUUGUUCUUUGAUUAACUAUAGUUCUGGAUUUUUUGCAGAUUAUCAAAUAAAACUCAGAGAUUCCUUGUAUGUCUCUUUCAAAUCUCUCUUUUGUGGUAUUUCCGGAUCCUUACCAAGGCAGUGAUGGUAUAUGCCUUCUCUCAAAGUAUAUAUUAUUUUUGGUAUGAGGCAUAGUGAUAUUGCCUUCUCUCUCACUCUACUCUAAUAAGGUUUUGAUAUCUAGAGCUCAUAGGUGGGAGACAGAUUAAUACAUACUUACAAGACAUUUAUUGCAUAGUCAAACCAUAGAUCCAGUAGAACAAGUCAAUAAGUCAAAUCAAGAUGUGCAUGUGUGGCGAGUGAAUGGUGUAUGGUGAUGAUGGUGAUAAUAAUGGUGAAAGUCUAAUUCUAAUUUUGCUCUUUUUAGGGGAUCCAUACCUUUCUUGCUCUUUGAAGCUUUUUGAGGAGAAUGAGAUGCUCUAUAUUUUCUUUUUUUUUUCCUCUCAGGUGGGUAUCUUGUACCCCUAAUUCUAUUGUCAGACACUUAUCCAUUUUUACCUCUCACCUCACUUUUUCUUUUCUUCGAGGUUCCGGGCACUUGCCCCUUUUUAUUUCCUCGUAUCCUUUUUUUUAGAGCACUCAUCUCCUGAAAUAAUAUAACAAGUGGUAGUAACCAAGAUAACUCGAGCAUUUAUUUCACAGGGAAAAACAAAAAUGUUUUUGGCUAUUCUCUCCCAGAUUAGGAGUAGAAUACUUUUAGGUGGCUCUAGAGAUGGAAGUGAGUGGAUGUAUGUGGAUGCGUACUUCCGGAGUAGAAGUAGCAUGUGCGAGUGAACGUGCAAGUGAAUCUUGAUUUUAACCACAUGACAAGCUCCUAAGGGUGUACACAGCUUGACCACACUCAAUGCUCAUAAGCAGUAAAAAGUAAAUGUGUGGCUCAAAGUUUGGCAAGCAUGUAUAUAUGGCUGUGGUAGGAAUUUAAACUCUCAUCAUACAUGAACUCAUCAUGUGUUAUUUUAAAGAUUUUUCAAAGAUAAAAUUCUCUAGAAUUAUAGCAUCUCUAGGAACAGAUAAACAGCAGCUCAACCUUCCCAUUUCCCAUAUCAUAUCCGUUAACAACUUAGACUUUAGAUGAAGUACUCUUCCCACAAGUUCAGGUUUAGAGCAGAUUUAAAUUAUAACAGUUAUGCCUAAACUUGAGAGAAAGCUCAAACUUGAAAACUAGGUACAUGGCAGAGCAACUAUUUAUCAUAUCCAUGUAAGAGUUUAUCAUUAGGGUUCAUAGCAAACUUUAUUUACUAAUUUAUUUAGCAAACUAAGCAAAGAUAUAUAUAUAUAUAAGCACAAAAUUUUUAUUUGGGUUUUCAUGAUUAUGCAUCUUUUUAUUAUUUGAGUAAAGUAUAAACACGAGUAGAAACACUUAGUUGGAUAAAUAGGGGUGCUCUCCCCCAAGCUAGAUUUUGACGUAAUUUCUUCUCAUGUAGCUAGCAGGUGACGGAGGUGUAUUUGAAUGUCGGCAGUACCCUGACAGCGAUUAGAAUGUCCUCCGCCGGCUAGUCUUCUUUGAUCCUUGAAUUCUGUGGAGCUCAAACAAAGCUUUGUGGAACUGGUUAAGUGUUAGCAUAAAUAUCUAGCCUUUAUCAUAUUGAGCUUCCUCUAAUAAAUAUUACUUUCUUUGGUAGGAUCAUAAAUUUAUUUUUAUAUUCUCAUUUUUAUAGGACAGGAAUAUUUUUUAUGCCACCACAGUGAAUGUACUUAUCGGUUUUAUGCCAUGAGCAUACUCACAGGGUGCUUACUAUUUUUAACAUUUUUAUUUUCUUUUUGAGAUGAUAUGAACCUGAUUAACUAAGCAAACUAUUUUAAAUAAUUGAAGGGAAAAGGAUAACUACCAAGUUUACCUCUUGGCAAGGCGUUCAGUGUUUUUAAGUCCUCUGAACGGGACUCUCCAUUCAGUCGUCCUGGGAUUCGCUGGAUGGCGUAGUCGGGGGUUUCGGCGGCGCCUCAUCUUCGUGUAUAACUAUCUUCUCUCUUCAUACCUGACUCGGAGCUACGGUCUCCUCAAGACAGUUUUGUUCAAGCUGUAUGUCUUCAGACCUUACCACUUCUCCUUUGUAGUCUGCCCAUCCGUCCUUGAUGAUUUGCUUCCUCUUGUUGCGGUUGUGUCGUCUUCUUCUUGUCCUGACCUGCUUAGAGUCAGUAAAAUAGUGGCGUACCUUCUUAGAGGGGAAGUGCAUGUGGACUUCUCCGGUUCCAACGUAGAUGAUUGCUUUAACGGUGCUGAGGAACGGUCUCUCAAGGAUGAUGGGCGGAUCAUACUCGUCUUCUCCCAUCUCAAUAACCUUCAACCUUUCGGAAUGUCUGAUCUGCCAUCUGGAGCUGGGUCAUCCUUUUUGGUCAGAAACGGUGACUUAAGUCGACGAUCUUGACAUCCUUAAAAUGCAGUGACCAUCUUAGCUGACUCGGUCCACAUUUGCUUAUUCCUGUUCCUCCUGUUGGUCCUCUUCCUUGGUUCUUCUCUGAGAUUUGUGUAGUCUUGUUCGUGAAGGAAAACAUCUCCUUCCUCCCUUUGAUGUAGAAACUGAUCUUGGCGGCACUAGCGUAGAUGACAACUCCUGAGGUGUUCAGGAAUGGCCUCCCUAGGAUGAUGGGUGCCCUCUCAUCAGUACCAAUCUCUAUCACCAUGAAGUCUUGAUUUUGUUGAGGACGGUUGUAGUAGUAGUUGUUGUUGUUGUAAUUUACGUCCUCAAGCAUCUCAGGGCAGUGAUUGCCUGAGUAUCUAGUAUCUCUAGUGUUUUUGUGCUCGUAGAUCCAAGCCCUUCACUUGGUGGAGUCUGAGAGUUGUAGAACUCCUUCAGGUUUUGCUCGAAGUGUACCUGCUCAUAGAGACAAGGCAGAGAUCAAGUGCAUGGGCCUUGUUGGUGAAAAACACCAACAGAACCAAAAGUGUAUUUGUUCUUCUCUAACCUUAAACAUAGUGAGCAAGACAAAGUUGAUGGAUAAUAAGAUCAUGAGUGUAGCAUUUAAAACAUUUGUCAGAUCAGAUUGCUCCACGUAAUGGAAAGAUAAUCUAUCUAUAUUUAUGUUUUGCUUAUAUCUUCCAAAGAUUGAAUGUGCAACAUUUUAGCUUAUAUGAUUAGGAGUGUGGGAUCACGAAGGUAGUACUAGGAACAAAGAUUAAAGGACUAAACAUGCUGAAUCAGUUGGGUUCGUUAAUUUGGAGUUAUAAAUCAUACAUGUUUGUCUCUUUAUUUAUGUGAACGCCAGAACCAAGGAUAAGUUUAUAAAAGCGAUAGUCAAGUACCUUAAGAUGUUACCUUAAUUGAAGAGUGAUGCUACCAUCUCACCUUGUGGAAGCUUCCCAUUCGUAAUGGGUGUGUAUCUUGUUUAUGUACUUUGUCUCCUUCCACGGAUCAUCUCUCUAUGAUGAAUGAGCUAUGUCUUCGUUGUGUAAAUCGUUAAAUUUCAGGUGUCUCCUUUAUCUUCAAUGUGAGUUUGUAUCUCAGGACUUCCCAGGUUGAUAUUGAAAGUUUUCCUGCAGGGGUUAGUCCGACAAAAUAUACCAAUGCCUACUCAAAUAGUUUUUAGUUCAGUUACCAAACUAGACUCUAUGUCUAAUCAGAUUAAAGAAGGCUAUUUAACCUAAGCACCACGCUUAAUUUAAAUGCCAAUGGGAGUAUGUCCAGUACUUCCAAACCAACACUUACUAGGAUAAACAUAGGUCGCAUGAUGGCUUUUAUAGAGAUCUACUCAAGUGGAGAUGAAGUAGUGUGACUAGUAUUUAACAAAUCAAGCAUGUCUCAAAGGUAGGGACAACCAACAUAGCAACUUGGCAAAGGAUGGUUUCAUGUGAAGUACUCCCCCAAGCUUGAAUUUUGCAAAAUUCAAGAUUGGAUGAAUUAUAAUUCAAUGUUGCAUGAUGAUUGGUUGGGCAUACCUUGCGCUUGUCAUUCCUCAGAUCUUCUUGCUCCAAUCCAAGAAAGAUUAGUGACAAGAAUACCCGAAGGAAUAUUUCUACAAUUAUCUUUAUAUGCUCAAUACACAAGGCAAUGUUGCAAAUAAUUAGAAAUUCAUGUUACGAUCUGAUAAGUGCUUGUUUUAGGACACUAAGCUUGUCCUUGGGAAACCAUCAAUUUAUGUCGGCGAAGUGGUUUCCCCUCAAACGCUGACCUAUAUCAAGAUCAACGAGAUCUGCAAUAUUUAUUAUAGACAUAUACAUCGACAACCGCCCUUUUAAAGUUUUUACAAAAAAGGAAGAGGGGGUUGGAGAUCUCAAAUGUGGUGAUGUUGGAGAGACCAAUAGAUUGGGAAGGUGUUGCAUAUGAACAUGGAGUAAACGAAGUGGCUAUGAAAUAAAUUCCAUGCUCAUUAAUGUUAUCUUCGUCUCCAAACUGAAUGUUUGGAGUUUCUCCUAGAUUGGUCUCGCCUAUGUCCUCUUCUGUAGUAGGAUGAAUCUCAUCUUCAAAGGGAGUCAAGAACUCACCAUUUGAAAUUGAGCCAAAGUCAGAAUCCAUUAAGGCUUGUUCCUUGUCCAUCCACUCAAUGGUGAUAGCACAUGGAUUAUUAAUGCCCUCUAGCCAUUGAUGUUGCUCUUCUCGAUCCUCCUUGUGGUCUUGGUGACUCUUAUGCAUGGGAUGUCUAGAGAGAUUCAUAGGAUCAUCGGGAGGUUCAAGAGAAAGAGCAUGGUAGAAUUUAUUAAGCUCAAGGAUGGGUUGGAUAGCCGAAUCAUGGGAUUGAAAUGUUUGGAAAUUGGCUAUUGAAACUUCCUUUCCUCGUCUGGGAGAUGAUUCCUUCUCUAUCUCUAAGAUUUUUCUAUGAAGACUAGUACAAGAAGGAUGUCGACGAAUGAAGACAUACCUUGCUUUACUAACAGAUAAAGAAAGAAAAACUCUACCAAAGGGUAUAUGAUUAAGACAAAUGUGAAAAUAUCGAGGAAAAACUGGGUCUUGUAGGCUAGGUUUAAACCAAAAUUUAUAGAAAGAUUAACAGAUUCCCUAGGUGUACCUAAAAGUUCAUUAUCUUUUUGAUUAAAAGAUAGGACCUCAGCUAUAGAAAAGGGUUGGUUUUGACCUAUUGCAAUCAACUCCGGACAUAGAUCAUAAUUAGGGGCAAAGAAAGGACUUGUUGACUCCCAUGGUCUAUGGCUGGUCUCCGAAGGUGCAAAAAAUUCAAUAAUAGGUGUGGAAUUUGAGUUAUCCAUAAAGAUGUAAAAAAUAAAAAGAUAAAAAAAGUAUAAAAGUAUAAUACAAGAUAAUAGCAAGAUUAAAAGUUAUCUCAGCAAACCGUCUUUCUCCCUGGUAACGGCGCCAGAAAUGCUUGUUGAUAUUUGGUAACGCCAUCAGGAAAUGAUCCGCAAGCGCACGGAUAUCGGUGAGCACUUCACCCGGGAGGUUAUCCAGAGUAUCGUAUUUAUGUUUUUACCACUCGGAGAAAGCGUGCAUCUGACUAACCAAAUCUAUUGCUACUACCCUUUAGGUUACAAAGAAUAUGAUUCGACGUGAGCGAUGUAUAGAGAAGACUGCAACCGUAGUCUCAUUCUAACCUUGGUAAGGAUGAUCUACUGUUCUAUUGGGGAGGCUUACGGAAUCCAGACACCACAGAGGAUGUUCGACCCGCACCUAUAAACCCUACCGUCCUGCUAACGAGAUGUGGGCUGCAAAGGUAACUCGGAAAUGUCACGUUCCUCGCUACUACCACGGUCCAGCUAGUCAGGGGAUAUCUAUGAGUACCCUAGCCAAACAACACGUUUACGCUAGCAAUGAUUACUCUAAACUCAACCGGAAGAGAUUAAAGUAAACUCAUAAACCAAAGAACAAUAAAACAAGAACUUACUAGAAUUUAGAAGUCGAAUUACUGAAGAAUCCUAGGAGCACGCCUCGGGUUAGGAGAACAUGAUCCCGUAGGUACAACCUCGGAGUAGACACCGACAGGCCGGGCUUCCUCUGAUCUACACCUCCACUCUAUCUCUCUCAAUCUAGUAGAUCUAGUCUACUCUCACAUUGGAUGCUAAGCCCUAAGUCUAUUUAGAGGAAAGGUUAUCCUUCGAGGGCACCUCUCAACUCUAUGAUGAACUCGUUCUCCUCCAGGGACCAGGGGGUCUGCUUAUAUAGUCCCCUCAAGUGAAUCUGGGCCGUCGGAUCAAACCGACAUUGAUUGAAUGGUUAUCCUUGAUCCUUUAGGUCGGUGGAGCGUAAUCCGCGAGAUGGGUCCUGAUUAGACACUGCACCAGGGCGGGCGCCCUGCCCUCGGGCCUGAUCACCUUCCUGUUCGUUCCCAUGGCUUAUGGAGUCUUCUAGAUGAUAGAAAAUUGCGCGGCAUGUUAAUAUCUCUAUGUAAACCCGACGUGUGGGCCUUUCAUCCAUAUUUCCGGAUAACCCCCUGCAGAAAUAGACAAACACCAAAACUCAAGGAAUUCUAUCAGUUAAAACCCUAAGUCUGGGUGUUGGUUGCAUUUGGAUCCUUUUUCUUUAUUUAUUUGAUGAUUAUUUUUUGGUACUUAAGGACCAUCAAUAGCAGCUCAAGACCUUCCUGAAAGAGCAUCUAGGCCCCUAAUGAGUUUCGGUGAUUAAUGAUAAUGUUGAUUACUGUGACUAACAUGUGUUUUGCAGAGGCAAAGUUAUUAGUGUUAGGCCAUGGUAAUAUUUACUCGAUGAACGGGGACGUACAUGCCUAUUUAAUAGUGGAAAUCGUUUUGGUUUUCAUAGGAUGGAUGGACAUCAUCAAGACUAGACUAGGUCUAAGUGCCAUAUGGUGAAGGAGGGCACUUAGAGUAGUUUAGGACUUUGUUUUCCUUUUGACCAUACUAUUAAGAGGGGCUUUGAUCUAGUAGCUUGACUUAAGCAAGGCUCUAGGUUUAGGUGUGGUGCACACUUCGUAAACCUAGCACUAGGCAGCUCAGAGAUAGUCCUUAGAUCGAGAGGAACAAACUUCAUUUUGGAACGGUCGCGUUUCGACGAAGUUUGGGUGCCUAAGUAGGCACCGGACGCUGCACCGGACGCUCUGUGAGUGCGUCCGGUGAGGUCGUUUUGAGUGAGAGUGCCUGAUGUUGAUAUAUGGUAACGCCAUCAGAAAAUGAUCCGUAAGCGCACGGAUAUCGGGAGCACUUCACCCGAGAGAUUAUCCAAAGUACCGUAUUUAUAUUUUUACCACUAGGAGAAAGCGUGCAUCUGAUUAACCAAAUCUAUUGCUACUACUCUUUAGGCUACAAAGAAUGUGACUCGAUGUGAGCGAUGUAUAGAGAAGACUGUAGCGGUAGUCUCGUUCUAACCUUGGUAAGGAUGAUCUACUGUUCUAAUGGGGAAGCUUACGGAAUCUAGACACCACAGAGGAUGUUCGACCCGCACCUAUAAACCCUACCCGUCCUGGUAACGAGAUGUGGGCUGCAAAGGUAACUCGGAAAUGUCACGUUCCUUGCUACUACCACGGUGCAGCUAGUCAGGGGAUAUUUAUGAGUACCCUAGCCCAAACACCACAUUUACGCUAGCAAUGAUUACUCUAAUCUCAACCGGAAGAGAUUAAAGUAAACUCAUAAACCAAAGAACAAUAAAACAAGAACUUACUAGAAUUUAUAAGUCGAAUUAUUGAAGAAUCAUAGGAGCAAGCCUCGGGUUAGGAGAACCUGAUCUCACAGGUACAACCUCGGAGUAGACACCGACAGGCCGGACUUCCUCCGAUCUACACCUCCACUCUUGUAAUACCCGAUUUUAAGGAUAAAAUCAGAUAUGCACCAUAUGUGAUUCUUAAAAGCCAAAUCUCACAUAUAGCUACAAAUGAGGGGUAAAAUCAAAAGACAAUGCAUAAAUAUAACAUACAUAGUAUAAAAGAUAUAACCUUUGAUAGCAAACAGCGGAUAGACAACUCCAAACUUCGGGUAUUAACUUCACUCUACAGGAUCCAACUGACUGGUUGAUCACAAGCCUAAAACAUCUCCUGAAGGGUGGGGAAAUAGCAAGAGUGAGUCCAUAUCGAACUCCACAAGUAUAGCAACUAGAUUGUAUAGCUCCCACAAUCUCAUGAUCAAUGUGACAUAAGUAAUAUAAAGCAUUAAAUAAUAAAUAAUGAACAUAUAUAACACACAAGAAUCAUCAUCGUCGAUGCAAGAAUCCCCAAGGCCGCUCUUGACCGUGAGCACGACUAGUAUACCAGUUUUAACACUCUGCAGAGAUUGUACAUCUUUACCCAUGAGUCAUGAUUUAUCCUUUCGCCCGAGGUAGCUAAUCUCUUAACCCCCUUCCUAGGGAGGUCGGCAGGGAUCACUAUGAAGCCUUUAAAAGGUUUCGUCUAACAAGUUAGGGCCAUUAGAUUCACUCGGCAGGCAGAUAUAGAGCCCCCCUUCCAUGGCACAUAACCCGCAGCCUAUACACACAGACAGAGGCCGCACUAUACCCAACGUGUCUAGCCAUUCUUACGCCAUUUAAGGUAACCGCUAACAAGCUAGAAAAAGGUCCUCAUACCGAGCUAAAGCCAGAGCCAUUAUAGCCCUCAUGGUUGCACUGUUGUCCCGGUUAUCACUUACACAUAAAACAUCAAGUUGCUAAAAAGUUAUUUUUAUCAUUUAUUACUUAACAUUAAUCAAGUCACAAGAUCAUGGUCACAGAAAUAAAAUCCAAAUUCUAUACUUGCCUUGAUCCAAUUGCUCUUGCUGAUCCUGUUGGUCUUACUAGUUGUCCAAGCUCUGAUCUUGAUCACUGAAGCACUCUUGAUCACCACGAAUUACUCACCGACUAAACUCGAUCAUCGAUCAACCACACACAAUCAUCUGGAGACAAACAUACACGAAGCAAACAAAGCUACAAUUAGAACAGUACACCAAUCAUAUAAAAAUAGUAUGAAAAGUUUAUAAAAUGAUUCUACGCAUCGCUACGAUUUCACAGACGUAAUGAUCAUGAAAAUCGGAAUUAAAACGUAGAAGUUAUGAAUUUUCUAAGAUUUCCUAUACAUAAAUAAUUAAUUAAUUAGGGUCAUGAAAAUAAAAAGUUUCAAACUGGUGAAUUAUGUUUACUAAUAUAUAGAGCUCAUUAAUACGAAUCUAACAAAAUUUGAAUGGACAAAAACGGAGUUCAAAUGAUUAAACUGCGCAUGAUUAAAGGUAGACCGAUUAAAGUAAUGGUAGAAGAUUUUGGAAAACUACCAUAACAUGCCUAGUGUUGUUUCCAUCAUGCCUGGUUGCCACUCGAUGUCCAGGAGACUCAUUGGCCAUAGCUUGCAAAGGCCGGAGGACAGCUGCAGGCAGCAUGUGCGGCGCACAGGCAACAACGUUGAAUUAGACGGCAACAAAAGGACAUGGGCUUAGCUUCAGGACUAGACGUGCGGCAAGUGCAGAUGAAAAGGAGGCAUCCUGUUCCUUCGUGACUUGAUGUUUAGCUUGCUGAACGAGAGAUCAGAUACUGAAUAGAAAGAAAAGAAGCAAAACAAAUGAUGAGUACUUAACAAAGAGGGAGUCACGCACCAGAAGAGACGAUUAUGAUGAGCACAGGCGAUGGACUGGAGAGAUAACGAAAAAAAUAUAAUUUACUACCGUGAAAUUCCCAGACUAGAGGUUCCAUUUACGGUAUUUUUGUGUUUCUCCUAAAGGGUUGGUACAUAUAUAUGUGGAGGAAAACUCUCCACAUCUACAUCAAUUAGCAAUAUGCUACUAAUUAAUGUUACCCCUUCCACCUUUACUAAUAGGCCUAAUUAAUUAUUAAAGCCCACUAGUAAAUAAAUACAUUGGCCUUUGAGAUCAUGGGUUCAGCGUUGGGUAGAAUGAAAGAUUUAUUAUUUUCAAAAUUAAUUAUUUUUGUGAAUAAGAUAUUUCUAGAAAAGUCUAGAAUUAUUAUUUAAUUCAUGAAAAAUAUUUCAAAAGCUUUGAAAAUUCGGGAAAAAUUCUCGGAUAUAUUAUGAAACAUGAGGAACCCAAAUAAAGUAUUUGGAGCUCAUGAUAAGAUAAUUUGGAGCAUCUAAAAAUUAGAUUCUGCUCACAGUUAAGUGGGAACAAGUUCCACAAAAAGUGUUAAAAUAAUUCUUGGUCAGUUUUUAGAGAUUGAUUGAUGGUUGAGGAACUAAAAGGAAUGAUUUGGGUUACAAAGAAAAGAUUUUGUGAAACUCGAAGCAAAAGCAUAGGCUAGAAAACAAGGAAUUUGAUUGUAGAAAAAAAUAUAAAUCCGUGCCGAAGAAGGGAGAUCGACCUACUAACAUAUUUUAAACACUCCACUCACUGACAACACACAAAGGAGCAAGAAGCAAACAUUACAUCAAAUCUUAUGCACCAGCAUGUAUGCACAACAAUAUUGCUAUGCUUUAUGAUAAAUUUUAAUUUACUAAAAAAUGUUAUUUUUCCUAUAUUUUCAUGAGCUCAAAAAUACCAAAUGAAAUUAUUUUAGCUCUAUUUUGAAAGGACCAAAUUUUGGGGUGUUACAAUUCUACCCCCCUUAAGAUGAAUCUCGUCCUCGAGAUUCAGAUCAUGGUGAUCAAAGAGAUAUGGAUACUCCAACUUUAUAUCUUCUUAACUUCCUUAGCCAUGUCCAGGAGUUUGACAGUACCUAUAUGCAGGGUUCUCCUUUAUUCUUAACUCCUCCAAAGCCAUCUCUCUUCUAGAGGCCCACAAACAUUCCUUCAACAAUGACAUGUUAGACGCAUCAGGUAUUCCUAAUCAACACUUGGUAUCUUUUGACUGUUAAGCUACUUUUCAUUUUUAGCAACCCCAACUGAGUUCUUGCAGCAAGGUGUUAGCUUAUUCUUCACUUCAACACUGCUUAUGCUUCUCAUAUCCUUUUUAGACGCUACACAUCAUAUAGUCUUUUAAAUUCGCUUGUACCAAGUCUAUUAAUCCAAAGUUAGUUUCAUCACUAAGUUCCAUCUGUUGGUACCUUUAUCACAAUUAAGUUGCUUCACUCUCACAUUGUACAUAUAUCUUUGUAGACUUUGGUGUCAUCUGAUUCUCAUACACAACUCUUAAUCCAUGAGUAUCAGUAAUGACAUAAACCUCCAUUGGUAUUAGCACACUCCAGAUGGAAUGAUAUCUUGAAACAAACCAACAUACCAAGCACUUAAUGUCCUUGUAGAUGUUAUAGUCAUUAACCACUUCUUCUCCUUGUAGUUCUUUAAUUGGGCUACCCCCUUAAGAGAGGUCAACUAGGGGACCAAGAACGGUAUCUUUCAUGUUUUCCAGACAAGUUAACUAACAUUGAGAACUCCUGACAUUCCAAAGAACUUAUGUGCAAUGGAGCAAACAAGUAUCCUGAAAUUUCCUCGCGAUAUGAAAUCACCAGCGUAGUAAAAUGGACAUAACUCUUAUUCCGUGAAUCCUAGAGUUGUAGCUUAUACCGUUAGAAAACAUAUGAAAUUACCUACAACUUUCUUGUAGAAUUCCUCCUUAGGUUCUGUCUUUAAGCUUAGGUAAAUCAACCAAACUUAAUAUCCAUCCAGACAAUGUCUCAGCAAGGGUGCAGUAUCUACCAAAAGUUAUAUCUCGAGCUACAGAACUCAUAUGAUGAUGGUCCUUAUAUUGUUGAAAAUUUUAUAAAAUCCUCUACAACAUUCGUAUACAACCUUUUCCCAGAUUCUGACUUUAACUUGGCUGAAAAUAGGAAAUGCCAGAUCUGUCUAGAUCUUGAAACUGAACAGAAACAUCCAAGUGUAAAUAUCAUAUCUCAGGUUCUUCUUGUCCAAAUGUGUUCCAGCUUAUACUGUUGGAAAGCUUAGAAAAGUGUAUACAACCUUUCUAUAGACCACUUUUCCAAAUUCUAUACCUAUAUUUGUCUAAAACAGUAGGCAACCAAAACUGGUCCAGAUUCUUGACAGCACAUCUGUACCAUAAUGUGAUUUUUGGAACUUCCAAACCAUAAUAGCUGUGAGGGUGAUUCUUGUGGUCAGAGAAAGAUCUUGAAGUCUAGUUGUUCCCAGAAAAUUUUGAUAAACUUUGCACAAUCAGAACUUGUGAUACACCAGCAUCAUUGCGGACUGCUCUAGAAAUCAGCAAGGGAUAGAAACAAGAGAUAGCCAAACCCAACUACUUAUUUCAUUAAUCCUUAUGCCUUAGGCCUAUGAACUAAUGAAAUUGUGAGGAAAUCCCACAAGAUCAUUGCACUCAUUACAAAGAUCCAAAUCAAGCAUAAACAUAAUAACAAACCAAUUAAGCAUUAAAGGUUCACACUUCACUCAACUUGCGAUAUUAUCGUUCUCUUCAUAGAAAGGCAAAGAUCCUAAAACUUAUAUUUCAAAGACGCAAGAAGGUGGUAAGAAAAGGUUCUAAUAGCAUACCAAAUCAAGGAGUGAAGGUGAGAACAAGUACUUUUAAAAUAAGCAACAAGGUAGAGACAAAUAGCAGGGAUAGGGACAUAGCAUGGAUGAAAAUACCAAGGUUUAUAGAGCAAGGAUUUUAUGACAAUUUCAAAACCUUAAGACGACCAAUUUCUAACUAGGCUUGCGUCCUACAGUCAGUAUUGCUUUGAUACCACUUUGUAAUACCCGAUUUUAAGGACAAAAUCAGAUAUGCACCGUCUUAAAAGCCAAAUCUCACAUAUAGCUACAAAUGAGGGGUAAUAUAAAAAGACAAUGCAUAAAUAUAACGUACAUAGUAUAAAAGAUAUAACCUUUGAUAGCAAAUAGCGGAUAGACAACUCCAAACUUUGGGUAUUAACUUCACUCUACAGGAUCCAACUGACUGGUUGAUCACAAGCCUAAAACAUCUCCUGAAGGGUGGGGGAAAUAGCAAGAGUGAGUCCAUGUCGAACUCCACAAGUAUAGCAACUAGAUUGUAUAGCUCCCACAAUCUCAUGAUCAAUGUGACAUAAGUAAUGUAAAGUAUUAAAUAAUAAAUAAUGAACAUAUAUAACACACAAGAAUCAUCAUCGUCGAUGCAAGAUCCCCAAGGCCGCUCUUGACCGUGAGCACGGCUAGUAUACCAGUUUUAACACUCUGCAGAGGUUGUACAUCUUUACCCAUGAGUCAUAAUUUACCCUUUCGCCCGAGGUAGCUAAUCUCUUAACCCCCUUCCUAGGGAGGUCGGCAGGGAUCACUAUGAAGCCUUUCAAAGGUUUCGUCUAACAAGUUAGGGCCAUUAGAUUCACUCGGCAGGCAGAUAUAGAGCCCCCUUCCAUGGCACAUAACCCACAGCCUAUACACAUGGACAGAGGCCGCACUAUACCCAACGUGUCUAGCCAUUAUUACGCCAUUUAAGGUAACCGCUAACAAGCUAGAAAAAAGUCCUCAUACCGAGCUAAACCCAGAGCCAUUAUAGCCCUCAUGGUUGCACUGUUGUCCUGGUUAUCACUUACAGAUAAAACAUUAAGUUGCUAAAAAGUCAUUUUUAUCAUUUAUUACUUAACAUUAAUGAAGUCACAAGAUCAUGGUCAUAGAAAUAAAAUCCAAAUGCUAUACUUGACUUGAUCCAAUUGCUCUUACUGAUCCUGCUGGUCUUACUAGUUGUCCAUGCUCUGAUCUUGAUCACUGAAGCACUCUUGAUCACCACGAAUUACUCACCGACUAAACUCGAUCAUCGAUCAACCACACACAAUCAUCCGGAGACAAACAUACACGAAGCAAACAAAGCAACAAUUAGAACAGUACACCAAUCAUAUAAAAACAGUACGAAAAGUUUAUAAAAUGAUUCUACGCAUCGCUACGAUUUCACAGAUGUAAAGAUCACGAAAAUCGGAAUUAAAACGUAGAAGUUAUGAAUUUUCUAAGAUUUCUUAUAGAUAAAUAAUUAGUUAAUUAGGGUCACGAAAAUAAAAAGUUUCAAACUGGUGAAUUAAGUUUACUAACAUGUAGAGCUCAUUAAUACGAAUCUAACGAAAUUUGAAUGGACAAAAACAGAGUUCAAAUGAUUAAACUGUGGAUGAUUAAAUGUAGACCGAUUAAAGUAAUGGUAGAAGAUUUUGGAAAACUACCAUAACAUGCCUAGUGUUGUUUCCAUCAUGCCUAGUUGCCACUCGAUGUCCAGGAGACUCAUUGGCCAUUGGCCAUAGCUUGCAAAGGCCGGAGGACAGCUGCAGGCAGCACGUGCGGCGCACAGGCAACAACGAUGAAAUAGACGGCAACAAAAGGAGAUGGGCUUAGCUUCAGGACUAGACGUGCGGCAAGUGCAGAUGAAAAGGAGGCAUCCUGUUCCUUCGUGACUUGAUGUUUAGCUUGCUGAACGAGAGAUCAGAUACUGAAUAGAAACAAAAUAAGAAGCAAAACAAAUGAUGAGUACUGAACAAAGAGGGAGUCACGCAGCAGAAGAGACGAUGAUGAUGAGCACAGGCGAUGGACUGGAGAGAUGACGAAAAAAAUAUAAAUUACUACCGUGGAAUUUCCAGACUAGAGGCUCUAUUUACGGUAUUUUUCUGGUACAUAUAUAUAUGGAGGAAAAUUCUCCACGUCUACAUCAAUUAGCAAUAUGGUACUAAUUGAUGUUGCCCCUUCCACCUUUACUAAUAUGACUAAUUCAUUAUUAAAGCCCACUAGUAAAUAAACACAUUGGCCUUUGAGAUCAUGGGUUCAGCGUGGUGUAGAAUGAAAGAUUUAUUAUUUUCAAAAUUAAUUAUUUUUGUGAAUAAGAUAUUUCUAGAAAAGUCUAGAAUGAUUAUUUAAUUCAUGAAAAAUAUUUCAAAAGCUCUGAAAAUUCGGGAAAAAUUCUCGGAUAUAUUAUGAAACAUGAGGAAUCCAAAUAAAGUAUUUGGAGCUCAUGAUAAGAUAAUUUGGAGUAUCUAAAAAUUAGAUUAUGCUCACAGUCAAGUGGGAACAAGUUCCACAAAAAGUGUUAAAAUAAUUCUUGGUCAGUUUUUAGAGAUUGAUUGAUGGUUGAGGAACUGAAAUGAAUGAUUUGGGUUACAAAGAAAAGAUUUUGUGAAACUCGAAACAAAAGCAUAGGCUAGAAAACAAGGAAUUUGACUGUAGAAAUAAAGAUAAAUCCGUGCCGAAGAAUGGAGAUCGACCUACUAACGUAUUUUAAACACUCCACUCACUGUCAACAAACAAAGGAGCAAUAAGCAAACAUUACAUCAAAUCUAAUGCACUAGCAUGUAUGCACAACAAUAUUGCUAUGCUUUAUGAUAAAUUUUAAUUUACUAAAAAAAUUGAUUUUUCCUAUAUUUUCAUGAGCUCAAAAAUACCAAAUUAAAUUAUUUUAGUUCUAUUUUGAAAGGACCAAAUUUUAGGUUGUUACAACUCUAUCUCUCUCAAUCUAGUAGAAUUUAGAAGAACUAAUUCUACUCUCACAUUGGAUGCUAAGCCCUAAGUCUGUUUAGAGGAGAGGUUAUCGUUCGAGGGCUCCUCUCAACUCUAUGAUGAACUUGUUAUCCUUGAUCAAACCGACAUGGGGGGCCAGGGGGUCUGCUUAUAUAGUCCCCUCAAGUGAAUCUUGGUCGUCGGAUCAAACCGACAUUGAUUGAACGGUUAUCCUUCAUCCUUUAGGUCGGUGGAGCGUAAUCCCCAAAUAGAGUCCUGAUUGGACUCUAGGACAGGGCGGGCGCCCUAGGGGGGAGGGCGGGCGCCCUACCCUCGGGCCCGUUCGCUUUCCCGUUCGUUCCUGUGGCUUCUGGAGUCUUCUAGAUGACAGAAAAUUGCGAGGCACGUUAAUAUCUCCAUGUAAACCCGACGUGUGGGCCUUUCUUCCGUAUUUCCUGAUAACCCCCUACAGAAAUAGACAAACACCAAAACUCGUGUAAUUCUGUCAGAUGAAACCCUAAGUCUGGGUGUUGGUUGCAUUUGGACCCUUUUCUUUAUUUAUUUGAUGAUUAUAUUUGGUACUUAAGGACCAUCAACAACUCCCCCAUGCUUACCUCUUGCUCGUCCUUGAGCAAGGAUGAACUCAAGAGUUUUUGCAGUGGUUUCAUGUCUUAAAAGUAAGAUCUCAUCUUUGAGUUAGAGUAAACUGUUAAGACUUAAACCUCACUCAUUUCACCUUUCACCAUGGGGCUUGGAACGGUUACUUGUGUCUUGAGCAGUUAAAAGAUAGAACGGUCAAGUCAAGCGCCAUGUCUCUUAUUCUUGAUCAGCUAUAGCUCUGGAGUUUUUGCGGAUUUUCAAAUAAAACUCAGAGAUUCCUUGUAUGACUCUCUCAGAUCUCUUUUUUGUGGUAUUUCUGGAUCCUUUCCAAGGCGGUAAUGGUAUAUGCAUGCUCUCAAAGUAUGUGGCAUUUUUGGUAUGAGGUAUAGUGAUAUUGCCUUCUCUCUAACCCUACUCUAAUAAGGUUUUGGUAUCUAGAGCUCAUAGGUGGGAGACAGCUAAUACAUACUUACAAGAUAUUUAUUGCAUAGUCAAACCAUGGAUCCAGAAGAACAAGUCAAUAAGUCAAAUCAAUAUGUGCAUGUGUGGCGAGUGAAUGGUGUAUGGUGAUGAUGGUGAUAACAAUGGUGAAAGCCUAAUUCUAUUUUUGCUGUUUUGUGGGGAUACAUACCUUUCUUGCACUUUGAAGCUUUUUGGGGAGAAUGAGAUGCUCUAUAUUUUCUUUUUCUUUCCUCUCAGGUGGGUAUCUUGUACUCCUAAUUCUACUGUCGGACACUUGUCCAUUUUGACCUCCUCGUCUCACUUUUUCUUUUCUUCGAGGUUUCGGGCACAUGCCACUUUUUAUUUCCUCGUAUUUUUCCUUUUUCUAUUUUUUUUUCUUCUUCUCUUUUUUUAGAGGACUCAUCUCCUGAAAUAAUAUAGCAAGUGGUAGUAACCAAGAUAACUCGAGUAUUUAUUCCACAAGGAAUAACAGGGAUAGGAUAAUGUUUUUGGCUAUUUUCUCCCGGAUUAGGAUUAGAAUACUUUUGGGUGAAUCUGGAGAUGGGAAUGAGUGGAUGUAUGUGGAUGCGUACUUCCAGAGUAGAAGCAGCAUGUAUGAGUGAACGUGCAAGUGAAUCUUGAUUUUAACCGCAUGACAAGCUCCUAAGGGUCUACACAGCUUGACCACACUCAAUGCUCAUAAGCAGUAAAAAGUAAAUGUGUGGCUCAAAGUCUAGCAAGCAUGUAUAUAUGGCUGUGGUAGGAAUUUAAACUCUCAUCAUACAGGAUGUUAUUUUAAAGAUUUUCAAAGAUAAAAUUCUCUAAAAUUCUAGCAUCUGUAGGAACAGAUAAACAGGAGCUCAACCUUCCCAUAUCAUAUCCGUUAACGACUUAGGCUUCACAUCAUGUAUUCUUCCCACAACUUCAGGUUUAGAGCAGGUUUAAAUUAUAACAGUUAUGCCUAAACUUGAGAGAGAGCUCAAACUUAAAAACUAGGUACAUGGCAGAGCAACUAUUAAUCAUUUCCAUGUGAGAGUUUAUCAUUUAAGUUCAGUUUGGCCUAAACACUUUAUUUAUUUAUUUAGCAAACUAAGCAAAGAUAUAUAUAAGCACAAAAAUUUUUAUUUGGGUUUUCAUGAUUAUGCAUCUUUUUAUUAUUUGAGUAAAGUAUAAACGCGAGUAGAAACACUUAGCUAGAUAAAUGGGGGUGCUCUCCCCCAAGCUGGAUUUUGACGUAAUUUCUUCUAAUGUAGCUAGCAGGUGGUGGAGGUGUAUUUGAAAGUUGGCAACACCCUAACAGCAAUUAGGAUGUCUUCCGUCUGCUAGUCUUCUUUCAUCCUUGAUUUCUAUGGAGCUCAAAUAGACAACAAAGCUUUGUGGAACUAGUUAAGUGUUAGCAUAAAUAUCUAGCCUUUAUCAUGAUGAGCCUCCUCAAUAAAUGUUACUCUCUUUAGUAGGAUCAUAAAUUUAUUUUUAUAUUCUUAUUUUUAUAGGACAGGAAUAUAUUUAUUUUAUUUUUACGCCACCAUAGUGAAUGUACUUAUGGGUUUUAUGCCAUGAGCAUACUUCACAUAGGGCUUACUAUUUUUAACAUUUCUAUUUUCUUUUCAAGAUAGUAUGAACCUGAUUAACUAAGCAAACUAUAAUUGAAUAAUUGAAAGGAAAAGGAUAACUACCAAGUUUACCUCUUGGCAAGGCGUUCAGUGUUUUUAAGUCCUCCGAACGGGACUCUCCGUUUUCUCAGUCGUCCUGGGAUUCGCUGGAUGGCGAAGUCGGUGGUUCCAGCGGCUAUAACUAUCUUCUCUUUCCACAUCUGACUCGGUGCUAUGGUCUCCUCAGGACGGUUCUGUUCAAGCUGUAUGUCUUCAGACCUUACCACUUCUCCUUCGUAGUAUACCCAUCCGUCCUUGAUAAUUUCCCUCCUCUAGUUUUGGUUGCGUCGUCUUCUUCUUACCCUGACCUGCUUAGAGUCUUCAACUAUAUAGUUAGGGUCAGUAAAAUAGCGGCAUACCUUCUUAGAGGGGAAGUGCAUGUGGACUUCUCUGGUUCCAAUGUAGAUGAUUGCUUUAACGGUGCUGAGGAACGGUCUUCCAAGGAUGAUGGGUGGAUUGUACUCGUCUUCUCCCAUGUCAACGACCUGAAAAUCAUCUGGAGCUGAAUGUAUGUUGGUUGUAGGGGCAUGGUUCCAUGCAGGAGCUGAUAAGUGACUAUGGCCAUUAUGUUGUCGUCAGAUCCGGUGUCAUAGAGUGUCUUCUGAAAAGAGUAUCCAUUGAUUGUGCACUCGAUGCUUGGAACACCAGGGUCGUCCUUCUUGAUCAGGAAAGGCGACUUGAGUCGAUGAUCUUGACCUCCUCCGCCAAGGAUCCAAUGUUUUAAGUCUUCUGGACAAGACUUCUUACCGUCUUCAUCCUUUAGGUGCAUAAUUUGAUUAGGUGUGGACCUUGACGUCUGCACCUCUUGAUACGG
This 70024-nucleotide long non-coding RNA is filed under the name Sorghum bicolor (sorghum). RNAcentral describes it as "long non-coding RNA (SBIC_LNC006697)". The stretch from base 18771 to 18876 matches the Rfam family "Plant small nucleolar RNA R71". The record is from RNAcentral. Lineage: Eukaryota; Viridiplantae; Streptophyta; Magnoliopsida; Poales; Poaceae.